Molecule: long non-coding RNA, 46167 nt
Filed under: Oryza sativa (Asian cultivated rice)
Lineage: Eukaryota; Viridiplantae; Streptophyta; Magnoliopsida; Poales; Poaceae
Description: long non-coding RNA (OSAT_LNC000969)
Source: RNAcentral
CAGAGUUCUCAAUGUGUUCAAGAAAUGAGACUAGAUGAAGCUACAAAUUCGAACAUGUUGACUGCUCAGCAACAACCUCAGAGGCAACUGUAUAGACACCUUGAGAGACAUCAUAAGAAAAUCGUUGCAUCUGAAGCGCAGGCGUUGCAUGGCAAUGUUGAGACUCCUAUCAGGAUGAACAAAGCUAAGGAAUUCCCUAAAAUAGUAAGGGAUCAUGAAGCAUGCUUACUUUCAUUUUAUCAUCCUGCUCCUAUUCCAUCCCAUGUUAUGAAUAUGUUGCAUUGGUGCUUCGGUAUUGAUAUGGAAAGGAAAAUGCCAUUGCCAAAAAGGUAUCCAACACAAUGCUAUGGUACACCAAGGAUUGUUCAUCAGAAUGGUACAUUAGGUUUCAGAAGAUCUUAUGUGGAUUUUCCUCACAGAGAUGAUCUCAAAAGUUUGGACAAUAAGGAGCUAAAUGUCCUGCUAUUCCAAAGGAAGUUUAGUGGUUUAAGCAAAGGGAAUUAUCUUCUUUUUUCACAUACAACGCCAUGUGUUUCAAUGCAGGUUUGUCCUCUUUGAUUGCAGGCGAGACCCUGCUAAGCAUUCACAUGCAUGGAAGACUUUUCCCGAUGGUCAAAGUUUGCUAUUCUUUUCUAUUUUGUUUUUCAGCAUUGAUCAGUGUGGGGGGCUGCUUCAGACAACAAAAGCUUCAAACUGCGACACCUGAAGAGAAAUUCAUGGUCUUUGAAGAAAUCAUGCCUCAUGCUAUUAAACUGGUGAUGGAUAUCUAUGGAAGUUAUGUGCUACAAAAGGUUUUAAUUGCAAUUAUUUUAAUUUUGAUGAUUUAGGUAAACACUACUAAAUUCACACACCUGUAUGCUUUACAUUUUCUACUAAGAUGAUCGAGCAGGGAACCCCGUUUUAAAGGAGGAAAAUUACAGCAUGGUUUUUUGGAAGUGUUUUAAGUAUAAGCUAUCAGAUAUAUGGAUCUAGAGUAAUCCAAAGGGUAAUGUGUGUUUUCCAUAUCUAAUAUCACUUCAACCUAUUGCAUAUCUGAUUUGCUUCAUAUACACAAGAUCUAGAUCAGAGUCUAAUAUUUUCUUCAGGGGGAGAGUUGGGAGGGGGGGGGGGGUCGGGGGGAAGGGGAUCGGUCAAAUUUGACACUUUGAAUGGCAAUGUCCACCCUUUCACUUGAUGCAUCCCCAUCGAUGUCAAUUAGUUAGGACACAACUUUACCAGGUAAGAGUUGGCCUUCACCAUAGCCACCUCAGCUAGAAAGUAGUGUGGGUGGGGGUGGCCACGUGGUGGAUGGUGAUGAUUACUGUUGGGUGUCAAUAUGGUCGACUUGGCAGAUCUAGCGGUAACCUGAGAUGGAUAGAUGGCAGACAUAGUGGAAGGGAGGUGGUGGAGGCAUUAUGCAGGAGAAUGUAGGCAACUUUGGCAUCAAAUGUGUCUCCUACACAAUAGGUGGCAACAGGAAAGAGUCUCACCGGUACCUGGAGUAGCUUCGAUGUUGGUGAGGUAGUCCAGGGCAAUGCAGGAGUGGUUGAUGGUGGCGGUGGCUAGGGUAUUAUGGCUUGUAGGAAAGACUAGGUGGAAAUAUAGGGACUAUAGGAUGUUUAGGGAAGUUGAGUCUCCGCGAAAAAAUUAUUGGAAAUAAGGGAUAGUAAAGGUAGUGAUAUUUGUCGAAGGAACAAGACUCUCCAUUGUUAGGACUAAUUUUCAUUAUAUACACGAAGCGUUGUGUUCCAAAAUUUCUGCAACUACAUAUUAUUUGAAAUAAAGCUCUGCCAUUAUGUUCAACUCGUCCUUCAUUCUAUCUUGUACUUGUGUUUGUAAAACACAUAAUUAAGCUAAUGCCCACAACUCAUUAAUUUUCUUGCGUCUUUGGCUAUAGAACUUGGUGAUCUAGACUAGAAGAUUCAGAUUGCCAAGGAGCUCAAUAAUGAUAUCAUGAAAUGUAUAUAUGACCAAAAUGCAAACCAUGUUGACCAAAAAUGCAUUGAGCAUGUGCCACCGCAAUUCAUAAAGUUCUUUCUAGAGGACAUGUAUGGCUGUGUUGUUGAGUUAUCAGUUCAUCCAUAUGGAUGCCAUGCUGUCCAGGUUUAAUUCUUUGCUUUUUGGUUAAUUAAUUUACAAUAUUUAUUUAGCAUGGAGUCAACAAACGAUAUACUUUCUCCCUUGUCUUUUCAUUUUCAGAGAGUUCCGAAGUACUUUGAUGAUCCAAUACAGGAAAUUUUUCUCGAAGAAAUUAUAGAGGAUGUCUACUACAUGACAAAAGAACAAUACGCUAACAAUGUUGUGCAGGUCAGCUACAGCUUAUAGUAUAAUUACCCUAUUGAUGUUGUUCACUGUUCUUUACAACUAUGCAUAAAUUCUACAUUAUUAGGAAAGCCCAUUAAUUCUAUUUUUCUUUUCGUGCCAAUUCUUCAUUAAUUCCCAUUUAGUUAUUGUUUGAAUUUUCUCUUUGCAGCACAUUUUGCAGCAUGGGAAAGCCCUUGUGCGAUCUUUAAUUAUAAAGAGAUUUAUUGGGAAAGUUGUGACCAUGAGCAAGCAAAAGUACGCUUCUAAUGUCUUUGAAAAGUGCUUGGUCUUCAGUAGCUAUGAUGAAACCCAGAAGAUUAUUAAUGAGGUCCUAACCAUAGCCAAGGUAAUAAAUAGUGGUGGUAGCGGCCGCUAUAGCGGCCGCAAUAGCGGUAGCGGUCCCCUCCCACUACCACUAUGGGGUAGCGGCAUGGAUGUAGCGCCCUAUAACAUAGCAGCCGCAAUAGCAGGUAGCGGGCCGCAAAAUUGAUAUAGCGGGCCACUAUAGCAGAUGGGCCACAUAUAUAUAUAUAUUUACCCUAAACCCUAGUCCACCUUUUCUCUCCACACAUUUGCAUCUAGCACGCCGCCACCAACACCGCAGGGCCUGCGUCGCGCGGCGGCGCUCCACGGAUUCAUCGGCCAGCCGGACGCCGGGCGGCGGGCGGCGGCUGCCGCUGAGUUGAAGAGCACCUCCCAUCUUGCCUCUUCGAUUCGAUGGCCAAACAUUAGUUGGUCAGUGGCUCAGCGCAGCACCGAUGCCGACUCGCCCUGUCCAUUGAUUUGAGUUUGAUUGCUAUUCUGUGCAGGUUAUCUUCUUCGUCGAGGUGAUUGCUUGCUUUCUGCUACCGGUUAAUGCUUAGUGGUUGGUGCUCAUUGUUGUGUUGAAGGCCUAAAGCUCAAGCUCAACUGUAAGAUCUGCAUUCUACUUGUACACAAAACACUAAAACACAUCAAUUUCCGUUGGCAUAAAGCAUAAUGGCAUGUUAAUAUUGUAGCAUAUGUAUAUAGUAUUUGCCUUUACAAGAGAUUUACACGUAGGACUUAAGAUUAUCAAUUUUUUUGUAGUUGCACAAUGUCUUCGGCUGCAUCAACUGCACGUUCAAGCCAAUCAACAUCAAGGAAAGAUCCAGCUUGGGAGUUUGCUUUACCGUUAACUGGAAAUGAAACUAAGAAUCAAGUUGGUUGCUUAUACUGUAAGAAUUACUUCAAGGGUGGAAUAACUAGGCUUAAGAGGCACUUGGCUGGAGUUAGAGGGCAGAGUGUUUAUUGCACACAAGUUCCUGAUGAUGUUAAGGAGAAGGUUAAAGCAAUGCUGGAUGCACAUGGUGAAAAGAAGAGUGCAAAAUUGGAUAGCCAGCUUCGAUUGAGGCAACAGGUUAAUAUCAAUGGAAAUGAUGAUGAGGAAAUGGAAGAAGUAGGAGAAGUUGAAGUUCAAGAAGCUCCAUCAGCUGCAGGAAGCACACUAGUCCGUAAGAAGCCCCGAAACAAGGGACCAUUGGACAGCUAUUGCAUGCGCCCUGAGGAACCUCGUGCUAAGGGAAAGCAUAUACAAACUACAAUGAGUAAACACUGUAAGGUCAAAGAGAGGGAAAAGCUCAUGAGUAUAUUGCAGAUUGGUUUUAUGAGGCAGCAAUUCCUCAUAACACAGUUUUUUCUCGAAUCUUUUGAUCUAAUGUUAGAGGCUAUUGGACAAUUUGGCGCAUGAUUGAAGCUUUAUAUGCUUGGCACUCCUUUAUUAAACAAACAUAUCAGUUUGUUGCAGGAAUAUUUGGAAGUGCAAAAGGAGUCAUGGUCUUCUACUGGAUGUUCUAUUAUCGCAAAUGCUUGGACAGAUCGGCGUGGAAGAAGCUUAAUGAAUUUGGUUGCUCACUGUGCUAGAGGUAUGUGUUUCAUUGAUGCCAUUGAUGCUUCCUUGGAGGUUCACGAUGGGAAGUACAUCUACAGCUUGGUAAGCUCUUGUAUUGAUGAAAUUGGUCCUAAAAAGGUUGUGCAGGUGGUCACUGACAAUGCUUCAAAUAAUAUGUCUGCAUCAAAGAUGCUUCAAGUGAAACAUCCUCACAUAUUCUGGACCUCAUGUGCUGCCCACUAUAUUGAUCUCAUGCUAGAGGAUAUUGGUAAGAUAACUAUGGUACAUAACAUUAUUCGAGAUGGAAAGUCUAUCACAAAUUUACUCUAUGCACAAGUUAGAUUGCUGGCCAUUAUGCGUCAAUUUACGAAAGGUGACUUAGUUCGAGCUGGUACUACUCGAUUUGCCACUAGUUACUUGAACUUGAAAAGUCUUUAUGAUAAAAGAAAUGAAUUGAAGCAAUUGUUUGCAUCACAAGAUUGGGCUAAAAGUUCCUGGGCUAAAAAGAUUAAAGGACAGAAUGCACACAACUUGGUCAUGAACAACAAGUUCUGGUCACAAAUGCUAGAGGUUAUAAAUUAUUUUGAGCCACUUGCAUAUGUACUUAGGAGGGUGGAUGGUGAUGUUCCAGCAAUGGGAUACAUUUAUGGUGAUCUUAUCAAAGCAAAGAAGGACGUUGCAGCAUGCCUAAAUGGAAAUGAGAAGAAAUAUAGUCAUAUUUGGAAAAUCAUAGAUGCAAGAUGGGACAGCAAGCUCAAGACUACAUUGCACAAAGCUGGGUAUUUCUUGAAUCCGUGCUUCUUCUAUGAGAAUAAGAGAGAAAUCAAGGAAGAUUUCCUGAUGCAAGCAGUUGUAGAAUGUGCAACCUGCAUGUAUCGUGAUGAUAUUACAGUGCAAGAUAUUUGUGUAGCUCAGCUUAGCCUGUACACUGAAGCCAUGGAUUCUUUUGGAACAACAAUGGCUAUUAGACAAAGAAAUAGUCCAACAAUCACCCCAGGUAACUUGAUUCUUAAUUUCUACCAUUAAAUGAAAAUAUCUUCAAGUUUGUUAAUCUACUUUUUGUUGUCAUUGUAGCAAAUUGGUGGUCUGUACAUGGAACUAGUGCUAAGGAUUUGAGGAAGAUGGCUAUCAGGAUUUUAAGUUUGACUUGUAGUUUCAUUUGCAUGCGAAAGAAAUUGGAGUGCAUUUGAGAGAGUAAGUUCUCCAAAUAAUUCUGCAAUUCAUUAUUCACUGUUAAUAUAUCUUGAAGAAUCUGAAAUGCUUGGAUAUUAUAUACAUGUAGGUCCAUUCUAAGAAAAGAACUAGAUUAGGCCACCGAAAAUUGAAUGCUCUGGUCUUUGUCAUGUUCAACAAGAGGCUGAAAUCAAAAUAUUCUCAAAAGGAUAGGGAUCCAUUAGUUGCUAAAUUUAUAGAUGAUGAUCCACCAAAUGAAUGGAUUAUAGAUGAUGAUGCACCUGCACAACAACCAGAAGUUGAUGCUCAGAGUGCAGCUGUCAGUCGAAAGAGAAGAUUAAUACAUAAAAAAUCAUCAAGUAAAGCAAAGAAAGCAUGCGUUGUGGUCGAAGAGGAGGAGGAAGAAUUUCAAUCUUCUAACAGUGAACAUGAAGAGGAGGAAAAUAUUCCUUAUGCAGAUGGUUCAAGUGACCAUGAGCUUGAUGACGUUGGUGAGAAUGACAACGAAUGACAUGUUCCUCAGUUGUUUUAUGGCUCCCAUGAUCUUGUAUUCUCGUUUGUUGUGAACUUGUGAUUCCUGUUGGCUGGCUUGUGCAUGCACUGAGACUUGAGACCAUGUUUGUGUCUUAAAUUUAAGUUAUGUUGGAAUGACAUAAACUCUUUGAGGGCAAGUAUACAAAUAAAUGUCUAUUUUCUCAAAUUUACAUGUGAUUAUUUAAUGCCGCUAUUGGAACUUAGCGUCCGCUAUCUGCGAUCCGCUACCAAGACCCCAAUCCGCUACCAAUCUGCUAUCUGCUAUUUUUGAACCUAUAGUGCCAAUACCUCAUCAAAAGUGGUGAAACUGAAGCUCUUAUGGUAUGUAUCCACAUCCUCCCAAUUAUGUGAUUCUUAGGUGACUACAUGAAUAUAUACAUAGAAAUGAAAAAAACUUAAAGUUAACAUAAAAGAGUUAAGUCAAAAGAGAAAAAAACGUAAAACCCAUUAUGUUUAUUACACUGGUCUUGAAAUUAAUGUUUACAACAGUAGUCAAAUUAUGUCUAUUACACAAAUGCUCCAUUGAACUGAUUCACAACCUUUGUUCUAGCUUAUGAACCUGGUCUUAAGUAUGUGUUUCUUAAUUAAUUUCUAGGCAAUUAAUUAAUGCAGGUUAUGGUGAAUGACCAAUAUGCCAAUUACGUUGUGCAAAAGGUGAUUGAGACAUGUGACGAGUGCCUGAGGAUGCGCCACAGGCAGCUCCGCAACUGCACCUAUGCAAAGCAUGUCGUUGCACGGAUAGAGAGGCUCAUUGAAGCUGGAGGUAGGCCAUCAAUCUGUUUUCCCUCCCUAAUAUAUCACUCAAAACAGUCAUGACAUACAUACAUACAUACAUACAUACAUACAUACACAUAUGUAUGUAUGUAUGUAUAUGUAUGUAUAUAUAUGUAUGUAUGUAUAUGUAUGUAUAUAUAUGUAUGUAUGUGUAUGUAUGUAUAUGUAUGUAUGUGUGUAUAUGUAUGUAUGUGUGUAUAUAUAUACAUAUAUAUAUAUAUAUAUAUACAUAUGUAUAUACGUAUACAUACAUAUAUAUCCAUAUAUACGUAUAUAUACGUAUAUAUGUAUAUAACACGUAGACCAUACGAACAGUUGGAUGGCUAUGAUGUGUAAGGGAACACAAGAGUCGUAUCUAAUUUGAUUUUUUAUGUCGGUGUUUACUCACAUAACUUCGUCUAAAUGAAAAACUUAAAAUAAAGAAGGCUAUAAUACAAAUAACUAAUAUUCGAAAAAAAGUUUGUUUUUCGGCCAUAAUCUAGGACCUAUAUGUCUGUUACAUGUGUCGGAUCUAGAUAAAAACAAUACAUAUAGUAUUGGCACUAUAGGUUCAAAAACCAGCACCCGAGCCGAACUGAUCGAACCAGCGCCUUUAUCCAAUAUCUUCAUUAACCCAGCCUUAUACAUCCGCCUCCCCCCAUCCUCCAUCCGAGCUAACGCCUCUCUCUCUCUCUCUCUCUCUCUCUCUCUCUCUCUCUCCAUACUCCAAUCCCCAUCCUCCUCCCCCCAUUAUUCUCCCCCACCUCCUCCAAAUCUGCCUCCCCACGUCUCUGUUGCGAGGUGGCGGCCGGCAUCGGUAGCGGUGGUGAUGGCGGAGGUGGUUGCGGUGUUGCUUCCUCCUCCACCGCCCUCUCCUCCAGCCGUUUUCUUCUCCUGGCCCAGUCUUAACUAUGUGUUUCUUAAUUAUUUUCUGGGCAGUUAAUUAAUGUAGGUUCUGGUGAAUUACCAAUAUGCCAAUUACUUUAUGCAAAAGGUGAUUGAGACAUGUGAUGAGUGGCAACACAAGAUAAUACUUGAGUGCCUAAGGAUGCGCCAUAGGCAGCUCCGCAAUUGCACCUAUGCAAAGCAUGAGGUUGCACGAAUAGAGAGGCACAUUGAAGCCGGAGGUAGGCUAUCAAUUUGUUUUCCCUCCCUAAUAUAUCACUCAAAACAGUCAUGAUAUAUAUAUAGCAGAAAAUGCAUAAAAACACAUAUUCGUUUUGUAAAAAUGUGUUUGGCAUUUUAUUUGUGUCUAAACCCCGGCCUCUUGCUGAUGUUACAUCUUCUCUAGAGCGCAUAAUGAUGAUGCAGCCCAGGCACUCCAGUCGACAUGGAAAGGAGCUGAGAUACCCUAAAGAUCUGGAAAUGAGCUGAAGAGAUGGAAACCCUUGCUCGUUCAGCAUUGUCACUGACAGGUGGGUCCUUUAAUCGGUUGUGACAGUUAAGGCGGUUUCCGGACGGUUACACCUGACAUGUGGGCCCUACUUAUCCUCUAGCUUGCUUUGGAGUGAGGUUUCUUCACUUUCUCUUUAUUUUAUUUGCUAAAUUCCUGCAACACAUUAUUCUCCAAGUACAAGUGGAACUAUUUUAUUCUAAACAAUUAUGCAUUAUAAGCAUAGCUAAUUCUCCUUUAUUAUAGUUAUAUUGAAGGUCAAAAUUGGUCUAUAACGACCGUCAACACCCCUCCAGUCGAAAAAGUUUUUUUUAAGUCUUAGGUGGAGUCCUAGCUUAUACCCAAGUUGAGCGCCUGUGAAGAACUCUUAGCUAGUCUGCUGCUAUUUUCCUUUUGUUGUUAGUCGUAAUGUGCCUUUGUAAUAAUGUAAAUACUAUCAUUAUAAAUAAUAAAGAUGUGUCGGUGUACCCCCAACUUUUCAUGGGAUGGGGAAUAAUACACUAGUGUUUGGGAAUGGUAUUUCUGGGUGUGACACCUUUAUCCUAAAAACUCAUAGAGAUGACAAUAACAUGUGAUAUAUGUUGGAGCUCUUUUUAUUAUAUCUCUAUUCUCUAUUUAUAUAUAAUAAUAAUAUGCAUGUGCUAAAUGUUGCGGUGCAAUUCUAUUUAUCUUUAAUAAUUUUUAAAAUUUCAUGUUAGACAAAAAUAUUUUUAUAUGAUUUGUGCAUUUGAUCUUUAAUGCAAUUCAUGUCGUACAUUAAAUAUAUUUCAUGUAAAGUACAAUAAUAUGAUAUUGAGUGGGCACAACAAAUCUCUAUAAGAAUUAAUUAUAUAUAAUCACAUAAAAUAUACGAGGGCAAUAAUACUUAAAAUAUGUUAAAAAAAGUAGAGUUAUUACAUUAUUUGUUGCAGGCAUAAUAUAAAGUAUUUGAUACAUAUAUAGAAUAUACCAUGUAGGUAAAUAACUAUCCUAAUUCUGAGCAUUUAUGAUACACUUCAGAAAUUCUCAUGUGUCACAUGGAAUGUUGCUUUCUCACUCAUUUUGCUGGUACAUCACUAGAUGUGGCACAAAUUGUUGCCUUAGCUCGUCACCAUUCUGCAAAUGUAUUUGUUUAUAAAAUAAACAAUUGUAUUAUAAAAUAUAAUAUAAUAUUUUGAAUGAUCAAUGUUAGUCGGGAAUGACCAUAAAGCCAACAAAUGUAGUGCUCCACAUUUCCAGGUUCGCAUGAAGAGAUGUACGUGACAACCCGACAAGCUCCUAAGAAAUUUGAAUAGUUAGCUACCUUGGGAGAGACAAAUAAAUUUAUUGGUUACCUGUCAAGAACCGGAUUUGACAAUUAUUUGACGUGACAAGUUAAUAUCCUCGGUCCACCUUGAGACAGGACAUGCCACAAGCAUGGCUAUGCUAAAGUAGUCAGCAAUGGUUAACAAUGUUUUGCUAUAUCUCAUAUUUGGUUUAUUCUUAUAGGUUGGAAUUAAUGGAUUAGGGUCUAGUACAUAGAGUGUUAUGCUUUCUUGGUCUAGUAUGACCAGGAUAUAGCUUCCAACGACACGUACUAGUUCAAGAAUCUAAAAAAAGUAGUCCAUUAAGAUAAUAUUAAAAAACACAACGAUAUAAAAACAAAGGAUAGCCAACUUACCGAUUUGCAUUGUGCAACUUUAUAAUGAAUUUUCAACCAGCUACCUACAACCCUGCAAGGUCUAUUUUUUUAUGGAACUUCAAUCCAGUAGCAAUCUAUAUGAUGUAUAAUAAUUGUUUAAAACAAGAGCCAAAGAAGUCAAUAUUGGCUAUAUUAUAAAAAAUUACCUUGUAAGUCUAGGAAAUGUUUUGUUAUUAAUUCGUUAGUUUUCUGGACCGUCUGGAUGUUUUCAUACAUGAACUUAUGCACGGACAUGUUGAAGCAGUGACGGUCCAGUGGUUCAUACUUGUUUAGUACUGACUGAAGUUUUCUGACACUCAAUUUAAUGGUGUGUGUCCAUGAACUUUGCACCCAUAUGUUCCUAUCAAUCAAAAAGAAAAUAGGUUGCUGCAUGUUUAAACUAUAGGGUGGAUACACCAUACAGAAGUCGCCUGCACAAGGGUUUCAGUAAAUUUAUUUGUUGGAUGUAGCGGAAAAGGCCGCCUAUCAACUCUUGUAAACUCAUCGCAAAAACCACGGAAAGGAGGGAACUAUAUUUGUGUUAAUCCAUUUCAUCUACCCAUAAAAGUUCAGUAGUGAACAAACAAUUACUUUUUACAAAUGAAUGAGUUAAGGCAUUCAUCUUUUAUGGAAAAACAUAUACCCCGUGUUCAGGAGGGUGACCUCUCUAUAGAGGCGAUUAUAAACGCGUUGAAGUGGACCCAAGACCCAAAUACACAAUUACACCAGCAAUGUCUGCAAAAAAAAAAAAGGUCAGCCAGUAUGACUGACAACACAAUUCAUUUUUUUUCCAGCAAUAUAAGAUGCUAUUAUUAAAAACAUACCCACGAACGUCUUAUUACGAUUUUCUAGCAAUGCCAGGUCACUAAAAUUUUCGAGUUGUUUGGGGGUACAGACGAAACUACGGCGUGGCAUUAGAUUAUAUGAGUCGACUAUAGUAUCUCUAGUGAAAAAACAGUCAUAAUUCCUUUUUAUUGUUCAGAAAUUGAGUUCCCAUGAAUCAGGCUAGAAAUAAACACCAUAUAUGUUAUUUUCGUCUUUUGAUCAAAAUAUUGUUAAACCUUGUGUCAUAUUUUCUACUUAUAAUUGCUUCUAUUUUCGAGCCCUACAUAUGUACCAAUCAUAUUGUAUAUUUAGUCGAUGGUAGUACAUAAUCAUAUGCACAACUUGUGCAUGCAAGACCUGUUGUGCGUGCAAGACCCGUUGUGCAUGUGAGACCCAUUGAGAAUGCAAGACCCGAUGAGCAUAGGUAAGUUCAGUUUAUUGAAUUGGUUGAACUGAAAGUAAUAAUUUUUUCUGUUAUAUGAUUGACUGCUUGUUUGUUUCAAAAGUUUGAAGUACUUUGACGAUGUUGAGUUUGAUGAUUCCAAGGUAAAGAGAACAUUUAGUGUUAUUGUCAUGGUAGAUGUCAUGCUUCGUAUGCUUCAUAUUGAUGGAUACUACUGUAAGUUCCAUUUCCUUUUUCAAUAUGAAAAAAGUAGAUAAAAACUGAAAUACUAUCAUUAACUAAAUAUGCAAUAUGGUUGGUACACUUGUAGGGCUCGAAAAUGGAAGCAAUUGUAACUUGUAAGUGGAGAAUAUGCAACAAGGCUUAACAAUAUUUUGUUCAAAGGACGGAAAUAUACCAUACAUGGUAUUUAUUUCCAACCUAAUUCAUGGGAACUCAAUUACUAAGCAAUAAAAAGGGAUUAUGACUACUUUUUCGCUAGAGAUACUAUAGCUGAGUCAUCUAAUCUACCGCUGCAGUUUCCUCUGUACCCCAAACAACUCACAAAAUUUAGUGACUUGGCAUUGUCAUAACAUCGUCAUAAGACGUUCGUGGGUAAGUUUUCAAUAGUUGUAGCUUAUAUUGCUGGAAAAAUGUUGAAUUGUGUUGUUGGUAAUAUGCUGGCUGACAUUUUGUUUGCAGACAUUGUUGGUCUAAUUGUUUAUUUGGGCCUUCAUCCGGAGCCGACUGAGAAAGGAAGCCAUUACUUGAGUCUAGCGAGCUACACCCCGAGCAAGGAAAAAAAGGAGAGUAUGUUUGAAUGCCUGGAGAGCAUCAAGGUACCGUUCGGAUACUCCUCGGAUAUAAAGAGAAUAAUAAGCACGAAGGAUAAGAAGUUCACAAACAUAAAGUCUCAUGACGGUCACUUGCUGAUGACACAGCUGCUUCCUAUUAUAAUUCAUCGUAUCCUUCCUGAGCAACUCAUGUGCUCUGCCUCGUUAAGGCUCGUGAGCAGCUCGCGAGCUAGCUCGUUAUCUCCAACGAGCUUUGAAGCCAGCUCGGCUCAUUAUGAAAUUCAAACGACGAGCUGAGCCAAGCUUGUCACGAGCCGAGCGAGCUAACGAGCCACGAGCUUCCUGUCCACCCUACUCACGCAGGAGCACUCUGAAAGGCCAAGAACCAUUACUCCUAUACUAUCUCUGAGUACUGGCAUGUGGGAUCCUAGCUACUAGCUAGUGGACGAGCACGUCUGCCCGCGCCGCCGUUGUGCGGCCAUCCGACCUACACCGCCACCUCAUCGACCUUCUCUGGAGCAAGGAAGGCACCGACGUUGUCAUCGAGCUAGGCAACGACGGUGAGACGACAGAAGGACAGCCUAACGGGCGACGAGGAGAAGGGCGGUGGCCAGUGGGAAGGAGUGGUGCGCGACGGACGAUAGGAGAAGAGUUGGCAGAUGGCAUAGAUGGAGGUGACGGCAAGGGUGGAAUGCGGGAUGGAGCGAUCGAGGUAGUACUGGUAGGCCCACGAGUCCUUGGUCCGCCACUUGGCCACCACCGCCACGGUGCCUGUCGUGCUGGAGUCGGCUACGCCUUUCAUGAAUCCUGGACAAACAGAUGAGUAGUGAAGGAGGCGGCGGCGGAGGAGGGAGCGAUGACCUUGCUGCGAAUCCUUCCAUCGAUGCCGAUGUAAUGCAAUGUGGGUCGAUCUUUUCUAUGUUUCAUUGGUGUUGGUAGUGUGUGCAGCGGAGGAGGCGGAGGUAGGCGCGACGGACGACAUAAGCGCCACAUUAGAUGAAGACCAAAUCAAAUAAGCCACAUAAGCGCCAUAUCAGCCGAAACAGCUCUAAAUACUGCCAAGGGACUAAAUUUGCACUGGUUUUAGAAGUUGGAGGACGUUCAAUACCCGGUUUUGCAGCUGAAGGAUGUGAAUGAAACUCGACUUAUAGUGGAGGGACGUAAAGUGGACUUUUCCCUAUUCUACUCCAAACCUAGUAGACAAAAACUCGGCCCGUCUCCACCAUCCACGAAAUACCAAGGAGAAGCCAUUCCAUUCCCCCCCACCGACCAGUGGCCGCCGCACCACGCCGUCUCCGAUCAUCUCCCUGAGCCGGCGAAGCCGCUGAGCUAGGGGAGGGCGCCACCGGGAGGCGGCAUGACCAUCCUGGUCUGGAUUCUGAGGGAGAAUGGGUAUAAUAUUCCACCUCAGUCCUCAGUCCCGCCCGGAGCCACGGCCCGCGGCACAUGGACGACCUAGCCGGCGGCGAGGGAUGGUGCCGUUUUGUCGCCGUCGUUGGGGGCGACCACGAACCUGGAAGCGGGAGUGGCGCAGUCGUCUCCGAGGUCUCGAGUUCGAUCUAUUUGUCACCGAGAAAAUUGGAGCUCGAGCAGCCAUGGUGGAGCUCGCGCCUGGUGGGCUGUCGGCCAACGCCCGCCGCCAACCCCGGCGCUCUCCGCAAGGUAGCCUUCCUUAUGAUUUCAGCUUAGUUAUUUAGUUAUUGUACCAUGGGGUCGAGUGUGCACUAGCCUCAUUAAAUAUUCCAAUGCAUAAUCCAGUUUCUCUCUCUGUUUGAAUUUAGUCUCACCUCAAUACUGACGAAUCUGCUGGUGCUAAUUGGGACUAAUGUUGGAGAGCCAUAGCUGUAAUAAUAAUGCCUCAGCCCUGAGAAAAUGCCUGGAAGAAAUCAAUUUCUGGGCUGUGCGAUUGAAUAGUAAAGACAGAGACAUAAUCCCUGCGUGGAAAAAGUAAUUUCUUCCUCCCAUCAAUCUCCCCAAUUGUUGUAAUCUCUAUGCUAUGUCACCCCCAACAGUUGUUUCUGUGACUUGGAAUGAAAUUCAGGUGGGGAAGCUCUCCCCCCGGUGACUUGGUCUAAAGAAAAAACUUGGUGGAAGUCACUUGGCACAAGUGGUGCUGGCAAGGGACACGAGCCUGACUGGAGAGUGAGUACCCUGCUUGAAUUAGAUGUUGGAAGGAUGAUCAUCGGGCUAGGAUCUGCAGGAACUCCUGCGCAUAUAUGAUCCAGGAACCAGCACUGAGUGUAAGCAGGCCUCCAGUGGCGCAGGUCUCCGUCUCUCCAAGGUUUCCAGCAGGUUGUCGAGCAAUGGCAGCCCUAAUCCAGGCACUCUCUGAUGGUUAGCCUCCCCUUCCAUCUCAGCUCACCAUGGGUCCCAUUUCUCUGUUGAAUCCUUGAAUUUGAAAAUAGUUUAAUUACUGCAAUAUUAAUUACUUUGCUGGUGCCAAUUGGUAGUUUGGUACUGUACUACUGAUUAUUUUGGAACCAUCACUGUAAUUUUUUUUUAUAUAUGAAAAAGGCAGAAGCUCUGCCUAGUCAAUUAAGAAGAACAGAAAGAAACAUACAUAGAGGUUCUCAGUUACAAUUUGGAAGAAACUAAUUAAAAAACUAAGGACAGAAUGUGCAUACCACCAAUCUUUUUUGUACAGAAUGUGCCAGUUGGAUCUUUCCAUCAAGGCUAAAUCAUGAGCAAACAAUUUUCCAUGAAUUGACCCUCUUUGAUCAUAGUCCCAUCCUAGCAAGAUGGAUUGGCCAUCCGAUGAUGAUAAUGCCUCAGUGUUUUCAGUGAAUUGAAUUAAUGGGGGUAUGGCUUCUUCUGCUUGAGACAUUCAGUUUGUUCAGAUACUAAUAACUAUUGCUUUUAGUUUACUUUCUUACCCUCAAUUUGCUUUUAUGAUUGUUUAGUUGUGAAUAGUACUUCAGUUUGCAGACAAUAUGAUCAGAUCAAACUUGAUGGAAGUCACUCGGCAUUACUGCUGCUGGCAAGAGAGUAGAGAGUAGAGAAAAGGGAAACAGGUCAGACUAGAGAGUACCCUAGUUUAUUGUAAAGUCACUGCUGGCCAGGAUCGUAGGACUGCAGCAGAUAUGUGAUCCAUUUGCAGAAGUGGAGAUGACACGUCUUGCUGUAGUUGUCCUGUGACAAUAAGCCUAAGGAGUUUUUACAAAAUUGUGGCAUGGUGCUCUCUUCAGAUUGUAGUUAAACAGUUUCCAAGGAAUCAUACUAUUAAUCUGAUCUUCAGUUUCUUCAGAUAACUUUGCUUUCAUGUUUGUUUGGUUGUAGAUUAAUGUCUUAGUUUGCAAAAACUGAGCAGAUUAAACUUGGUGGAAGUCACUUGGCACAAGUGCUGCUAGCAAGGGAAACGAGGAACACUAGAGAUUUGAGUACCCGCCCAGUACAAUUUAUAGCCACUGCUGGAACUAGAUGUUGGAAGGGUAGUCUUUUGGGUAGGAUCCAAAAGACCCCUGCACAUAUAUGAUCCUGGAAUAUGCACGUAUAAGCCUCUAGUGGUGCAGUCCUCUCCAAGGUCUCUGGCGUGUUGUCGGGCAAUGCCUACGAUCCCGAAGUUCUCUGCCUGUUAGUCUCCCUUUCCAUCUCGGCUUACCAUGGGAGAACCUGGCCUUUAGAUUGUGCACUCAUAAUGUUGAAUUCGGUAAUAUCCUAAACAAAAUCAAUUUUCUCUCUGUUGAAUACGUCAAUUCGGUCAUGUUUAGAUUACUUCAAUAUUAAUUAGUGUACUGAUGCCAAAUAGUUCUGAACUACUGAUCAUUUUGGAAGCCACGACUGUUUUUUUCGAAGAUAAAAAAUGGUAGGUGCUCUACCUUUCCAUCAAGGCCAAAUCAUGAGCAAACAAUUUGCCAUGUAUGAAUGAAGAAUUGACACUAUUUGGCUAAAUGGAUUGUAGUCUCAUCCUCCAUGAUCCACAAAGCAGGCAAGUUAAAUUUCAUAGCCAUCCCAUGAGGCCAUGAUGGUAAUGCCUUAGUUUUAUCAGUGAGAUGUUCUUCUGCCUCAGAUGUUCAGUUUGCUCAGAUACUAAUAGCUCUUUUUUUAGUUUACUUACUCACCCUCAAUUUGCUUUUAUGUUUGUUUAAUUAUAGAUAGUACUUCAGUUUGCAGAAGAUGAUCAGAUCAAACUUGGUGGAAAUCACUCAGCACAAGUGCUGCUGACAAGAGAGUAGACAGUAGAAAAACAGGCCAGGCACAUAUUCCAGAAGUACCCCAGUACAAUGUAAAGCAACUGCUGGCUAGGAUCAGUAGGACUGCAGCACAUAUAUGAUACAUCUGCAGAAGUGGAGUUCACACAUCUUGCUGGAGUUGGCCUGUACACAAGACGCCUACUAAGUUUUUAGAAAAUUGUGAUUAAUCUGUUUCGAAGGAAUCAUACUGUUAAUGGGUGUGCAGGAAUCGUUCUCUUGUUGUAUUGGAGCCUGCAAAUAGUUGUACAUUCUUAGAGAUGCCAGCUGUUUUUUUUUUUUUGUACAGUCUUAAGUAAUUGUAAAUGUAAUGUAAGAUGUAAUUGUCAAUAUGCAUCCUGGUGCCUGGUGACAUGAAUUAGGGGAGCUGCAGCACUGUAAAUUGAUGCAAGAGAAGUGCCAGGGUUCCAGUGGCACUCAUGUUAUCUGAAGUGGCUGUUCUAUGUUCUCUGAGCUUAUAUCAUGUGUCAUCCAUUGAGGUCAAAAUUCUUUUGUGUUGAGUGAUGAACUGAUGAUGAGUUGUUGCAUGUUAUCACUUUCAGUCAAUAAUUCAGUAACAAUGGUGCAUGGUCAUAAGCAUUGCUCAUGGUGAAUCUGAAAUUGCUCUAUCUGGAGCCUGUCGUCAAUUCUUGAAGUAGUGUGACAAAUCAUUGACCUUCAUUAAAUGUGCACCAUUCAAGAAGUUUUACAAAUCAAUGAACUGAAUAGUAAGGAAUAUAAUCAUUGAAGUUGAACAGGUUACAAUAAUGUUACUUACAUUGAUUUCAACCAAUCGACAGCAAUCUCAACUAAUAAAUCACAUGUUUUGCAUAUGCUUAAUUACAAUCAGUUAUUAGUAUCAACUAAUGAACGGAUAAAUACAGGCCGUUCCAGGAGACCAGGACACAACAAGGAAGAGAUCAGACAUAAAAAAAAGUUGAUUAUUUUAUUAUUGCAAAAUCAAUGAUUAAAUACAACAAUGUAACUAAUGAAUAAUGAUUAAUUUCUAUUCUACAAUGAAUAAUUAGCUUUACAGCUGCAACUACAGUACUACACUAAACGUACAACUACAAAUCUAAUUAUCUAUCUACAAAUCACAGAGAUGGGAAAAGUCUUCGACUUUGAUUAGAGACUUGGACUCCCAUGCCGUUGCUUGUUGCUGUUCAAGCGCUGGAUUUCUUCUUCUUGUUGCAGAGGCGCUCGUGCACCACCCCGCGCAGAUCAUCGUCGAUCUUCUCCCAGACGGCGGCCGGCAGCGUGGCGCAAUCUGUCCACAGCCCGGGAUGCACGUACGCCUGGCGACACAGGGUGUGGGCCAUCGAGUUGCCCUCCCGAUAUAUGUGUCGCACCUCGACGUCCGCGAAGCAGCGGAGCAGGUCCAGGAUUUCCUCGUGCAUCGCCGCCGGGAUCCUCGUCUGCGUCUCCUCGCCGCGGAUGAGCUGAACCAGCACCAGGUCGUCGCCCUCGACGACAAGCCGCUCGACGAAGCACGCCAGCGCGAGCCUCAGCCCCCGGAUCAUCGCACGGGCCUCCACCACGCCAACCGUCCAGUGCUCCGUGAUCUCCGCGAAGGCGAGCACCACGCCACCGUCGCAGCCGCGGAUCACGCCGCCGAUGCUCGCUCGCCGGGAUCCGUCGUCAUACACGCUGCCAUCAAAGUUGAGUUUGCACCACCCCCCCGGCGGCGCCCACCAUCUGACGAUCACCCGGCUCGGCUUAAAUGGCGGCGAGGACGGGGACAGCGGAGUGGAGCAGCGGGGAACCGGUGGUGGCGAAGGAAAGAUCGACGGCAAGAAAGCCAAACCACCGCCGCCGCCGCGACCGUCAUCAGGGACCCGGAGCCUCCCGCCGUCCACGCACAUCCUCUGCCCCUCGACACUGCUCCUCUGCCGCUUUCCGUUCCCCUUCUUGGCCAAGAAGAAGGCCUCGUCGCCGCGGCCGUGAUCCGCGAGAAGAUUCCACGGCGGCGGCGCGCUCAGGGGAUCCGCCUCGAGGAUGUCGCCGCCGAGCGGGAGGGGCUGGCCCUGGAGGCGCCGGAGCAGGCAGCGGCCGACGAGCUCGUCGUCGCUGGGAUCGAGCUUGAGGCCCGGGAGGAGCCCAUCCGCGCCAGCCGCAGCCGCCGCCAUCGCCACCGGAUCGCCUGAGGAUUUCUAGGGUUUUGGUGGAGAGAAAGCGUGGGCGCGUGGGUGAGAGGAGAUGAUCAGAUGAGGAGAGGAAGCGUGCGUGUGGAUCGUCUGAGCGAGGCGGGAUUUGAACUUAUAGAAGGCGGUGACGUCAGCGCGAGUCAGCGUUGUCUGCACGCGCUCUUCCUCCCGCAGGAGCAACGGUUGAGGGUUUAACGCCUUAACGGUAUUGACUUCGAAUUUGGCAUUUGUUUCGAUUUAGUCCCAAAUUCCAAGAUUUUGAACUAUCGCUGAUCGUUCACGCUAUAUAAUUUUACUGCUCAUGGUGAAUUGAUGAUUCUAAAAAUGCUAUCUGCAGCCUCCAGGUGCAAAUCCCUGAUUUUUUUUUUAUUUUCUGAAGGAUUUUGGCAUUUUGCCCAUGUCUUGGACUUCUGGAGGAUUUACCUGAGGGACAUUGGGUUAACUGAAUUGAGGAAAGCAGAGUAUUGUUUACUUCUGAAAACAGGGGAACUGAAGGGGAAACACAGAUAACAGAGAAUAGAUGAUGAUUUUCAUUUUUAAUGGAAUAUCUCUUCAAGAGUAUAUAGAUUUGAUGUUCAGAGUGUGUUCAUUUAGUUUAAAAAAUAUGUCCAGAUGUUAUAUUUGAGAAUAGGUUUUCUUGUUCUCAACAUUGUCAGCAGUCUUUCUGUUGUUUUACCCUUGCCAAUGCCAGGACCCAAUGUUCAGAAACGGAGAUAUUCAGACAUCAGAAUUCAGAGAAGUUCAGAAAUAUUUUUGUAACACAGUGAAAACUGCAGGCAUUGUAGUUGUAUCGGUUGAGUGAUUUCACUUCAAGGACAUUCUAGUUGUUGUUAUGGCUGGAGUUAUUGUCAGUAAUCACUGCUUACACUAAUCAUUUUUUAAUAGUUUAGGCGUGAGAUGGCCAUGUGCAUCCACGUUAGGAUACAGAGGAUGGGCGUUACCCAUUAUCUAAAAAAAGGAGUGAGAUUACAAUUCUGAGCGGAGUUUACUUUUGAUUUAAUGUGAUGACGCUGUAAAACACUUAUAGGGUUCAAUGUAAUGAAGCAACUACUUAUGGAAAACAAGAAAUUUCAAAUAGGUAGGUUACAAAAUUUCCUGAAAGUUUUAUUGACGUUGAGAAAUAAUGGGGGACCCAAAACCUGAAGUCUCAGGAUUUUUUAUUUUUCUCACAAUAAAAUUGUGAACUGUGGUAUGUGGAUAUGAAUGUGAAAGUGCUAUAAUGCUUGAAUGUUCAUCUGUAUAAGCUAUCCAAUGACUUGGACCCUAAAAUCAGUUCACAAUGUAAUACAAACGUUGAAUUAUGCAUUAGUUUCACAUAAUAACUGAAGAGGGAGGGGGGACAGAGCAUUGCUUACUUCUGAAGACAAUGAAACUGAAGGGCCAAAGUUCAGAAAUUUGAAGCCAUUCACAGUCAUCAGAAUUCAGAGUUCAGAAAGAUUUUUGUAAUAGAGUGAAGUCUGCCGGCAUUGUACCUGUCUACCUGUUGAGCACUUUCACUUUAAUGACAUCUGAUGAACAAGAAGACAAGGAAGAGAUGGCCUAGAGAUUAUGUGUCUGAAGCUCUUGUCGAUAAUCACUGUUUAUAUUAAUCAUAUAUUUAAUGGUAUAGGCGUGAGAUUACAAUUCAUAAUAGAACCAAUAAAUUUCUUCUUAAAUUUUUAUUGAUGUUGACAAAUAGCAGGGAAUCUGAGCAACCUGAAGUCUUAGGAUUUUUUGUUUUCUCACAAUAAAAUUUUGAAUUGUGGACAUGAAUGUGAAAGUUCUAUAAUGCUUAAAUAUUUUCUAUAUGAGGUAUCCGAUGACCUCAGUUUUGUCAGUGAAUUGAACUAGUGUCCAGUGAGGAUAUGGCUUUUUUCUGCUUGGGAUGUACAGAUUUUUCAUAUAGUAAUAACUUUUUUCUGUCGAUUUGCUUACUCUUAAUUUGCUUUUAUGUUUGUUCAAUUGCUUACUCUGCACGCCCGACGAUGCUGUGGUGUUCUUCAGGCCUUCGGCUGUGGAAGCUCAUGCCAUCAAAGGGAUUCUGAAUGUGUUUGGGGAAGCGACGGGCCUGAAGACAAACUUCUCCAAAAGCGCAAUCACGCCGAUACAAUGCAGCGAGCAACAGCCAACAGCGUGAACUGGUGGAGUCCAUCCUUCUGUGUCGUAUAGGAGAUUUCCCCUAUAACAUAUCUUGGUCUUCCUCUUGCGAUCAGGAAGCCAAUGAAAGCUGAAAUCCAGCCGAUCCUCGAUAGAUUGGCCAAGAAGGUCUGCUCACCAAUAGAAAAAGGCGGUCUAGGACUGAAGGAUCUGAAUCUCUUUGGUCAGGCUCUGAGAUUACAGUGGCACGCAAAAUCGCUGGAGCAGAAGGAGAGACCAUGGACAAUGGCAAGUUUUCGACCAGGAAAUGAUGUUGACACAAUCUUUCGAUCGGCGGCAGAGUAUAUCGUCGGUGACGGCACUGAUACAGAGUUCUGGACAAGUAAUUGGACCAGGAAAGGAUGCUUUGCUUGGCGGUGGCCAAUCCUGUUCUCAUAUGUGGGGCGAACCAAAUUAUCGGUCGCCAACGCCGGUUAGAGGGCUGCAAGGUUCACUGACGAAUGAAGCACUGGGUGAAUUCUUCCAAUUAUGGGAUGAAGUACAGAAUGUCUCUCUGCAGGCGGCGGCUGAUGGAAUCAAAUGGAUUGCCCUUACGGCAGCCUCGGCAUAUGAUCUUUUCUUCAUGGCAACAGAGGAUUGCCCUUAUGGCGAGCUGCUGUGGCACUCCAGGGCACCGUCACGCGUCAGAUUCUUCAUGUGGAUUGCGCUGAAAGGCCGGUGCCUCACUGCUGAUAAUUUGGCCAAGCGAAACUGGCCGCAUGAUGUUCUAUGUCCUUUGUGUCAACGAGAAGAUGAAGACUGUCACCACCUGUUCGUGUCCUGCGAUUACACGGCUGCAGUCUGGAGGAAAAUGAGAGCAUGGUGCAACGCAAACUUCACCAUACCGGCAGACAAGAACAGAUCGUUGGCUGAAUGGUGGCUGACUGAGAGACGGCGUUUUCGGACGAGCUACAGGACGGAUUUCGAUAGCGCUUUCAUGCUAAUCUGCUGGGUGAUUUGGAAAGAGCGCAAUGCCAGGAUUUUUCAGAACGUCUCUAGGACACAUGAGUCGCUAGAGGAUGACAUCACAGAAGAGACAGCUGUUUGGAGAGUAGCCGGGGAUUUUCUCCCAAUUUGGCGAGUAAUCACGUUUGUUGCUGCAGAGGGUUACUCCCUCCCUUCGUACUCUUUCAUUUCAGUGUUUAAGCUGGUCUCAAUCUUUUGAGACUGGCACCACAUCCUUGUGUUGUUGUAACAACAUUUUUCUCGCCCAAAUCUUAAUGAAAUUGGUCAGCCAACCAUUGGCCGACCCGGCAAAAUAAAUACUACUUCAGUUUGUAAUACAUAAUGAGAUAUAAAACUUGGUGGAAGUCACACGGAACAAGUGCUGGUAGCAAGAGACACGUGGCAGUAGUUUAGCACACUCUUGGUAUUUGAUGUAAAUCCACUUCUAGUAUUUGAUGAUGGGAGCAUAGUCACCUACCUAGGAUGCACCAGAUUUCUGCUCAUAUCUGUUUCAACAAGCAGCAAGUGCGCAUGACUUCAUUUUUGCAAUGAAUCAGUUUUGAAGGAAUCAUUCUGUUAGUCUUCAGGACAGACAUGUAAAUAUCAUCUAAGAUGUACUUGUCAGUACAUAUCCUACUAUCUUGCAUAAUAAUGGGGAAACUGCGGGUCUGUUUUUCAGUUGUUAGCAUGUUUGUUCUGUAAUUUGAUGCAAGAAAAGUGCCAGGGUGAAGUGGCAUUCGUCUUAUAGGUGGCAUUUGGAAACUUCAGUGCAAGUAAGGGGAUGUGAUUUUUGUUCUAUAUUUUCAGGGCUCAUAUCACGUGUCAUCCAUUAAGUCUAAAAUGAUUUUGUGAUAGGUGAUUAUAAGCCUUCUGUUGUAUGUCAGCACUUCAGUGAAUAAUUCAGUAACAAGGGUGCAUGCUUAUAAGCAUGGCUCAUGGCAACGCUGGAAAUUUGAAAGUGCUCUGUUUGGACCCUGUUAUCAAAUCUUGAAUCUUGAAGAAUUAUAUCCAUGUUAAGUAAACCUGAAAGAUCAUAAUAUGCUAGAGUUCCUCAUUUUCAAUUCAAAUAGCACAAUGUUGUGCUAUCAGGACACUGGGCCACUGAACUAACUAGUACCAUAUCAGUAUUAACAACUGUACUCUGUUCUCUUGCGAUUAGCUUAAUUAUAUGCAAUUCAACUAAUCAACCGGCCAUUCCAAGGAAUAUAAGAUUUCAGUGUAACAGUAUUUAUUAGCAUUCAGAUAACAUAAGCCUACAAUAGUGUCAGUUACAUUGAAUCAACCAAUCAACAGCAAUCUCAGAUAAUAAAUCACAUGUUUUACAUACGCUUAAUUGCAUUCAAUUCAACUAAUCAACAGGCCAUUCCAGGACAAAAGUAUAGUACUAUAUCUCGCUUCUGCUGCAAAGCACAAUGUUCAGUGCUGAUAUCUUCUGGAACUUAACCUGCGGACAGACAGAUCAAACAGCUUGUGUCGAUGCAGCUGAGCGCAUUAUCAAUGCUAUCUGGAAAUUCAAAACCAGACAACGCCGGCGCCCCUGAAGAUUCGUUCACAUUCCUCUGGUUCAUAUUCAUUCAUUGCUUCAGGCAUCAACCAGUAAGAGGAAUAAGAAUCAUCAGAAAUUUUUUAUGAUGACAAAAGUAGAGUUUCAUUCUCGAGAGGCUCCAUCAAACACAUCUCAAAACCACACCAAGAGAGGUUUCCAUUCCAGUGUCCAAGAUUGAUACAAAUUCCAUACACCAAAGGCUUCCAUUUCAGAACCCAGAUUGAAACAUACUUCAUUUCAUACACCAGAAAAGCAGAAAAAUACUUCUUCAUUAACUUCCAGAUUGAUACAAAUAUCAUACACCACAAAGGCAAAAAAAGACUUCUUUAUUAACUUCCAGAUUGAUAUCUUUCAUACACCAGAAAGGUAGAAAAAACGACUUCAUUAACAUUUCUUCAGAGGCGAAUCUAGAGCACGGAGGACCCGAGUGCACACUUAAUUUACGCAUGUAAUAGAAAUGUAAAUGUAACAUAUACAAUGACAAAAAAUGCUUACCAAAAUGAAAAAUCCGGUAGUACAUGUCUACAUGGCAAUGGGCAAAAUACAUAAUUAAGAAUAACCUUGAUGAGACGAUAAUAACCUGUAAAAAAGUGCUAAUUAGAUGGGGAAAAAAUUGAUGACUUACUUGACAUGAUUUCAGUACUAAAACUCCUGGUCCUCAAGUCCCGCCAAAUUCUUUAGACCUUCUUUUCAAUAAGCAAAACUAUAGCCCCAAUUGCAAACCCUAACAAUAUAAUUCAAUUCAAUAUAGGGGAAUCGGUAAUCAAUCAAUUGAAACACUAUCUUAUUGCUUCAAAAGAAAUUAAUUUGCACCAAAAUUGGUCAAGAAAUAUUUUCAUACCAUCACAAUGCAGACGUGGAGGGCUUGAUGCCUUGAUGCCGCAACCUGCAAUCAGCGAUUCCUGCUCGAUGAGGCGUGCUACCCUGCCGUGCUGAGCGCCUGAGCGGUUAGCCGGUGGCCAGCGAUCAUGGCAAGUGGGUGCGCCGUGCAGUGCCUCCGCUCCGCUGCUUCCGGCUUCCGCCGUUCUGCGAUUUGGGGGCGUCGGUCUGGGCAUUUUGCGCGAGGCGGCGAGGGACGUGUCGCGGCUUUUCAUUUUCCCUCUUUCUUGGGCCUUCAUGGGCUGCCUGCAGCCUGCUAGGCAGCUGAAGGUGGUGCACAUAUUUUUUUUUCUAGGGAGUACACAAAAGGUGGAGAUUAGAUGCUAAUAACUAAAAGCUAAAUUUUUCCCUGGUGCCUGUGCACUCGGCAAGCUCAACAUGGCGUUGCCCCUGCAUUUCUUUAUCUACUUCCAAUAAGAUGGAAAUCUAAGACACAGGGAUUGAUAGAAUUUGACAGAGUUAACAGUUUCUAAACAUCCUACGAUUAAAACUGGUUUUUUUACACUCUACUCCGACGAUGGCCGCUGAUCGAACUCUUCCAACGCCGGCUGCAUUUUCUCCACCCUUGCCUCGUCUGAUCAAACUCUUCCAACGCCAACUGCAUCUUCUCCACCCUUGCCACCUGCAAACAACUGAUAGACAAGAAGCAGCAAAAGAAAAUACAUUAUGUAAAUAUAAUUGAACCUGUGGAUGCAGAUAUCGUGGUCCUAGUUGGCGACGACAGAUGGCGGCGGCAGGGAGGCCCGGACGCGGCGGCGGCCAUCCUCCGCUUCUCCCUCCACAGCUUCCGCCGCCGUCCUCUUCCUGCCAGCACCGCCGCCGCCGCAUCUCCCGCUUGGCCGCGGCCCUCGCUCCAGGACACGACAGAACCAGUCGAACUGGUCGGCACGGACGAACAGGCGGUAAUCGACGGCAAUAAGGAAGCGCCGUUCGAGGCCGGCCAUCUCCCUCGCGCGGAUCGCGGCGUCCGAGCUGGUCUCGAACACCACGGUCCACCUCGUCGGGAGCCUGUAGAUGGGCCCGCCGAACUUGGCGCCCACGAAGAUCGCGACGGCGACGAGUCGGUGCGCGGUGGACGGGUCGAUGAGGAUCCCCGCCUCCCGCGCGGCGCCGCUGCGUAUGAACCGGAUCAGGUAGAUCCCGGCGAGAACGUAGCACGCGCCCUGGAUCUCGAUCACAUGGCGGACGCUCUCCUGCUGGAUGAAGGUGUGGAUGCGCUCAAGGAACUCACCGAUCCGGACGGUGGGCGUCGCGCCGCCGCGGAAGGCGCGGAUGAGGUCGGAGUCGGCGUCGGCGUCGGCGGCGGUGGCGUGGCAGAGGGCUUCGGCCUCCACGAGCGCGGCGAGGAGGGAAAGGGAUCGAGGGAUCCCGCGCUCGUCGUCGCGGAGAACGGCGUGAUCGCCGUCGUCGGGUGCCACGGCGUCUGCAGCGGCCAUGGCGGCAGAAGGGUCUCGCGGAAAGGGACGGAUCAAGAUUGCUAGGGUUUGGCGCGCGGGAGGGGAUUAGGGUUUCAAGCUGGAGGAUUUGAUAGAAGAGAGGACGAUCGUGCGCAUACAAUACUUUUAUAAUGGGCCUCCCGGUCCGGCACGACCCGAGAUCGGUAUGGCCCAGGCACAACCCAAUAAGUCGGCCGGUCGGCCCAUGCCGGGUUGGCCCGAAGGCACGGGAAUAUGGCAGCCUAUCGUGCUUUUUUUUUGAAAUAAGUCUAUUUUACGUCCUCUUUUAGGUUGUGACUGAUCGACUCAUCGCCUGUUCGUCCGCUUCGUCUUGGUACCCCGCUGGCCGCCUACGCGGCUAUGCCCUAACCUACGACUGCAAGCUAGAGAGGCAGAGAGACUGCGCGAGGCUACUGGCUACGCGUCAUGCUCGGCGAGUCGGCGGCAGCCGGCAGCCGGUUGCAACCAGCGACUCAGCGAGGCAGUCAGCUGCGAGCGGCCGGAUGACGCCCUCUCCGUGAAUCCGUUCAGUUCAGUACUGCGACUGUGAGGUACCCAAUUGCUCCUCUUCGAAUCUCUGAUGUAUGCCAAGUAUAUAUGUUUAAAUUUUGGGAUUUAAAUUCUACUCCCCAAUUGCUCCUCUUCUGAAAUUACUUAUUAAUUUCUAAAUUCACAGUGAAAUCAUGUUGCCUAAAAAACACGCAUCUGGAAGUGAGAAAAGAAAAAGAAGAAAAGAAUAGAGGAAUUGAUAAAAUCACAAAGUGGAGCUAUUACCGUAAUGUCUCAAGAAAGAUUAAAUGGUUUGGUAACUUUAUGCAUAUAGAAGAAUUUAUUAGAUGAAAUUGAUAUAGAUGCCAUUGUCAAUGACUUCACAUCAUUAAAUGUUAGAAGAAAAUUUUAAGGUAAGAUAUAUAACUUGUUUGAUAAUAAUGUUUUUUUAUGCAUUGCAUUUAUUUGAAACAUUGUUAUAUUAUUAGUGUUGUAUUAAAGGGCCCAUCCUUUUAGCUUUGCUCCAGGCCAGUAAACUGACAGGACUGGGCCUAGACGCCAAUCCGUGUGCUGCCGAGCUCCAUUACUGCCGCCGUUCUCGGCCUCCGAGCCCUCAAGCCCCAUCUCCUCGUCGCCGGCCGGGAGAGGAGUGGCACUGGCGAGCUCUCGCGCCGCCACCGAGCUCGCUGGCCAAUGAGAGUGAGAGGGCGGCGUGGGAGAGGUGAGAGUUGGCCAUAGUGGAGCUCGAGUUGCCAGCCACUGACGACGUAGUUGUCGCUAGCCUUCGUCUAGAUCCAGGCAGCGCCGUCGAGCUCUAGCCCAGACCUUGCUCCUCCUCGACGCCUGAGAGGAGAGAGACGCUAACGGUGGCAACCGAGCUCCCGUGUCACUCUUGUCGAGCUCGUUGUUGCCUUCCGCCACUGCCUCGGCCUCCUCAACCCCCGCCGUGUCCCAAGCCUUCUUGGCUGCUGCCUCCGCGAGGAUUGAGGCGGGGCACCGUGGAGCUGUCGUCACCCCCCCUUCUGCUGCUUGCGCGCCGCCGAGCUCGUCGUUGAGCCACCGCCUCGGCCUCCUCGAUCCGUUGCCGCGUCCCAGCCUCCUUGGCCACUGCCGCCGCAGCAAGGAGAGAGGAGGGGCACAGCGGAGCUGCCGUGGAGGUCGGUGAGCCGUCGGCUGGAGCUCGUUUGCUGCCAGCGGCCGUCGGUGGACUGAGGAGGCAGCUGGCGGAUUGAGGAGAGUGGAGUGGAGAUAUUUUAUAUUUGUUUUUUAGAAUUUAGGGUGUGUGAGCGCGCUAAAAUUUGUACAUUAUGUUAAUUGAAAACACAUUAGAAGAUGACAAGGGCUGGUAUGAAAAGUUGAAAACACUCCGCUGUGAGAGAGGAGGUGUGAUCUCAUAUCUCAGUCUACAUGGCAUAUGAGGAUCCUCAUUUUGAGUAGCUUGCACUGCUAUUGCAAAACAUGGGUUUGUGUCUAUGGCCCCAUGCUAUAGCGAGGGAUAAAACGAUUAUCAGAAUAAUCUUUUAUAUAUGUUUCACCGUUAAGGAUCUGUUUUUUGAAACUUGUUCACUUAAUUAUUGGAAUGGAUGAUUUUUUGCACGCUUCAAAAAAUAUGUUCUCUAAAAUAUUUUCUUACUGGUAUUUGCUUAGACCACUUAAGUUAUUUAUUAAUAUAAUUUAUUUCUUAAAAUAUUAAAAUAAUCGAGUAGAUAAUCGAUACAAAAAACCAUUUAAAUAAUCUAAACCAAUCUAGGUCCAGAUUAGUUAAUUCUAUUUUCUCUCAUCUCUCAUAAAGAGACGUUGUCUCGAUUGUAUUUAGCCGUUAAAUAACUAAAUCUAUAUAUGAAUCAAAUAUUGUCUUUUUUCUUUAUCUUCUCUUUUCACACAAGAUAUAUCAGCUUAAUUAUUUUUGGCUUCAGAUGAUCGAUACACGAUAGUUCAAAUUAUUGCUCGGUCUUCUAUUAAACUAUUUAUCAUUUCAAUUAUUCUAGCCUUUUGUACGAUGACUAAUCAAACAUGAGUUUACAAAAUGCAAGUCGAUCAUGUCAUUUCGCUAUAAAACAAUCCAUCUUGCAUUUAAUUUCUAUCAUAGUCAUACAAUAUUCUCCAAACAACCACUGGUGGAGAAACCAUCUUUCGUCGGUCGGCCGAAUUCCACAAUAGUCCCGGUUGCAAUAAAAACCGGGGCUAAAGACGGUUAAAAAGGGUAACGGACAUAUUUGAUCUUUAGUCCCGGUUCAAAUGCUGUCAGGGCCUGUCAGGCCCCCCCGGGAUCUUUAGUCCCGGUUGGUAACUUUAGUCCCGGUUGGUGUUACCAACCGGGGCUAAAGAUCCCCAACCGGGACUAAAGAUCCCGGGGAUCUUUAGCCCCGGUUGGUAACACCAACUGGGACUAAAGUCCCAUCCCUAUAUAUAUGUCUUCUUCCUCCUCCAGUUGCCCGAGCAAGCUACAAAAUUUCUUCUAAAAAGAGGGGAGGUCAUGCCAAAAUUUCUAGUGAAUUUAUUUUGGUGAUUAUAUACAAAUCGGAGGUGCCUAAAAGGUUAGCAACUUCAUCCUCCAAUGUUUUUUUUGUCAUAUUACAUUUGGAGCUAUGUUUUGCACACUUUUUUGUCUCCAAAAUUUAGUUGUAAGUUGAUGAGAGAGAAAAUUUGUGUGGGGAAGAAAGAAUAUAUAGAAAUUUAGUUUAUUUGCUAAAGAAGGUUUUAUAAAAUAGUUGAGAAGGAAAAUAUAGUGAAAGUUAAUCUUAAAUAAUAGAAAACAAACUAAAAUGAAAAUUAAAAGAAGUAAAACACAUUAAUAUUAGUUUAAAACUUUAGAAAUAGUAAAUAAGAAUUAUUUGGUGUAAUAUUUUAUAAUUUUUGUAUGAAUAAUGAUAUGUCAUUAUUGUAUGACUGUUGAAAGAGUUUGUAAUUAUUUUAUAAUUAUUGUAUGACUGUCAUUAUUGUAAGAAUAAUUAUUUGUGUACGAUUUUUUUUCAUGUCAUGUAGAUGGAUCGGCAAUGGAUGUACGUUGACCGGCAGUCCAAAGAGUUUAUUGACGGCGUGCAUUAUUUUUUGAGAGUGGCCGAAGCUAACAGGCAUAAGGGUUUUAUUUGUUGUCCAUGCAAUAAGUGCAAGAAUCAGAAGGAGUAUUCUGCAUCCAGGACUAUUCAUUUCCACUUGUUUGAGUCGGGGUUCAUGCCAAGCUAUAAUUGUUGGACAGCCCACGGAGAGCAAGGUGUUGAAAUGGAACAAGAUGAAGUGGAAGACGACAAUAUUCCGAACUUUGCUCAGUACGUUGGAUUUGAAGGAAAUCAAACGGGCGAGGAGGAAAGGGAUGCUGAUGGUAACGACGUUGCGGAUGAUCUUGGUCAGAUAUUGCAGGAUGCCAAGGAGGACUGCGAAAGUGAAAAGGGGGCCCAUAAAUUGGACAAGAUGUUAGAGGACCACAGAACAUCGUUGUACCCAGGUUGCGAGCAGGGGCAAAAAAAAGUUGGAUACCACUCUGGAGUUCUUGCAAUGGAAGGCAAAAAAUGGUGUUAGUGACAAGGCAUUUGGCGAUUUAUUGAAACUCGUCAAGAACAUUCUUCCGGAGGGAAACAAAUUGCCCGAGACAACGUACGAGGCUAAGAAGAUAGUCUGCCCUCUAGGACUGGAAGUUCAGAAGAUUCACGCAUGUCCGAAUAAUUGUAUCCUAUAUCGCGGUGAGGAGUAUGAGAACCUAGAAACAUGCCCUGUUUGCAAAGCACUACGAUAAACGAUUAGACGAGAUGAUCCAGGAGAAGUUGACGGGCAGCUAACAAAGAAGAGAAUUCCUGCUAAGGUGAUGUGGUAUUUCCCUAUAAUACCACGGCUAAGGCGUUUGUUCAGGAACAAGUGGAAUGCUAGAAUGAUGCGAUAGCACGCUGAAGAGCGUCAACAGGACGGGAUGCUGAGACACUCCGCCGAUGGUUCGCAGUGGCGAAACAUCGACAGAAAAUUUAAAGACUUUAGAAAGGACGCAUGAAACAUACGGUUUGGUUUGAGUACGGAUGGCAUGAAUCCUUUUGGAGAGAUGAGCAGCGGCCAUAGCACUUGGCCCGUUAUGAUGUGUAUCUACAACCUCCCCCCUGGCUAUGCAUGAAGAGGAAGUACAUAAUGAUGCGGAUUAUUAUUCAAGGCCCCAAGCAACCUGGUAACGACAUCGAUGUGUACCUAAGACCACUGGUCGAAGAUCUUAAAGUGUUGUGGAAGAAGGAAGGUGUCCCCGUGUGGGACGAGGACAAACAUGAGGAGUUUAACCUAUGAGCGCUGCUGUUCGUAACCAUUAACGAUUGGCCUGCACUUAGCAAGCUAUCCGGACAGUCCAACAAGGGGUACAAGGCUUGCACUCACUGUAUGGAUGAAACAGAAAGUACGUAUCUUAAGCACUGUAGGAAGGUUGUGUACAUGGGUCAUCGUCGAUUCCGUGCAGCAAACCACCCGGUACGGAAGAAAGGCAAGCACUUUGAACAUAAGGCGGACCACCGUACGAAACCUAAACAUCACACCGUAAGAGGCCUGGAAGUCAGCCUAUAGAGAGCGAAGAUGGUCACGCGGCGAUGUGGAAAAAGAACUCUAAAUUUUGGGAGUUACCCUAUUGGGAAUUCUUGGACGUCCGCCACACAAUCGACGUGAUGCACCUCACUAAGAACCUUUGCGUAAACCUUCUUGGCUUCCUAGGUGUAUAUGAAAAGUCGAAAGAUACACUGGAAGCACGUAAUGAUCUGAAGCAUAUGGAACAACGCGGCGACCUUCACUCGGAACCAAAGGAGAAAGGAAGCCAUUACUUGAGUCCAGCCAGCUACACUCUUAGCAAGGCAGAGAAGGAAAGUAUGUUUGAAUGCUUGGAGAGCAUAAAGGUACCGUCUGGAUACUCCAAGAAUAUCAAGCGAAUAAUAAGCACGAAGGAGAAGAAGUUCACAAACCUAAAGUCUCAUGACUGUCACGUGUUGAUGACACAACGGCUACCAGUUGUUAUAAGGGGUAUCCUUCCAGACAAUGUCCGGGCAACAAUAACAAAGCUAUGUGCAUUCAUGAACGCAAUUUCGUAGAAGGUCAUCGAUCCGGAUAGAUUAGAAGCCCUUCAGAAUGAUGUGGUGCAAUGUCUUGUCAGUUUUGAGUUGAUAUUUCCACCUUCAUUUUUCAAUAUAAUGACGCAUCUGCUUUGUCACCUUGUCAAAGAGAUCAGUAUUCUCGGGCCUGUGUACCUACACAACAUGUUUCCUUUCGAGAGGUACAUGGGCGCUCUGAAGAAGUAUGUUCGUAACCAUGCUCGUCUAGAGGCAAGCAUCGCCAAGGGGUAUGGAACAGAGGAGGUUAUCGAAUUUUGCAUAGAAUUUAUUGAAGACCUUCGCCCAAUCGGGGUACCUGAAUCACGCCAUGAAGGGAGACUACGGGGAAAGGGAACUCUCGGAAGGAAAGCAAUAAUGACGGUAGACAACAAUUUAUUCCGUAAAGCCCAUUUCACGGUUCUGCAACAAUCUUUAUUGGUAGUUCCUUACAUCGAGGAGCACUUGGCUCUAGUUCGCGCCAGAAACAUCGGUAAGUCCGAUGCAUGUAUUACACGGCAUCACAUUAAUACUUUCCCCGCGUGGCUACGACAACAUCUCAUGGGUAACGAGACGAUCAACCAACAACUGGCCUUCCUAGCGAGGGGACCAUCUGGGUCGAUCGCGACAUUCUAGGGAUAUGAGAUCAAUGGGUACACAUUCUACACGAGAGCCCAAGACAUGAAGAGCACGAACCAAAACAGCGCUGUUCGUAUCGAUGCCAUGGGACACGAUGGAACAACUAGCACGUAUUACGGUGCCAUCGAGGACAUAUGGGAACUUGACUAUGGUCCUCUCAAGGUCCCUCUGUUACGGUGCCAAUGGGUUAGGUUGACUGGUGGAGGCGUAAUGAUUGAUGACAGUGGGAUGACAACGGUUGACCUUAACAAGGUUGGAUACUCGGACGAACCUUUUGUCCUUGCCAAUGAUGUAACGCAAGUCUUUUACGUGAAGGACAUGUCUAGCAAAGGAAAAAAGGGCAGAGGGCCUGACGAGCCGAAGCGUCACGUGGUUCUCCCAGGAAAAAGAAAAAUCGUCGGAGUUGAGGAUAAGACUGACGAGGAUUACGAUCAGUUUGAUGAGCAACCCCCUUUCAUGGUGACGAUUGACCCUAGCAUCCUCCUAUGAAAUGAAGACACCCCUUACUCACGUAGCGAUCACAAGGAGGGAACAAUAGUGAGGAGAAAGUACGUGCGGUCAACCGUCACCGUCGAUGUAUUGCCGUAAUUAUUGUGUACACGAUGUAAACUAUUUUGGAUGUAUUGAUUAUUCAUAUAAAUCAAUUUUUGUAUGGCAUAUGUUAAUUACGUACAAUUAUUAGAGGUUUUAACAAUUUUAAAUCAUGUAAUUGCUAGUUACAUGCGAUAAUUAGAAUUUUUAAAAGUUUUAAAUCAUGCAUGUGGCAUUUACAUAUGAUACUUAGAGUUUUUAACAAUUUUAAAUCAUGUAUAUGCUAGUUAUGUGCGAUAAUUAGAAUUUUUAAAAGUUUUAAGUCAUGCAUGUGGCAUUUACAUAUGUUACUUAGAGUUUUUAACAAUUUUAAAUCAUGCAUAUGCUAGUUAUAUGCGAUAAUUAGGAUUUUUAAAAGUUUUAAAUCAUGCUUGUGGCAUUUACAUAUGUUAAUUAGAGUUUUUAACAAUUAAUUUAAUAUCAUUCAUAUGCUAAUUAUAUAUGAUUAUUCGAAUUUUUAUUAAUUUUAAAUCAUGCAUGUCGUAUGUAUUUACAUAUGUUAAUUAGAGUUUUUAACAAUUAAUUUAAUAUCAUUCAUAUGCUAAUUAUAUAAGAUUAUUAGAAUUUUUAUUAAUUUUAAAUCAUGCAUGUCGUAUGUAUAUACAUAUGUUAAUUACAAUUUUUAACAAUUUAAUAUCAUUCAUAUGCUAAGUAUAUAUGAUUAUUAGAAUUUUUAUUAAUUUUAAAUCAUAUAUUUGCUUAUUACGUUUUAUCCACUUAAUUUACUACAGACAACAAUAAUUUUUUGAAGUAAUUGUCAUUAAUUUUUCGACUUUAAAUAAUUUUAAUGCACUAUUUUCUAUUUUAGAAACACAUAUGUAAUGGAAAUUAAUAUUCAGUGCACUUAUUAGUAGUCCCAGUUCUUAACCCUAACCGGGUUUAAAAAGAAUUUGGAAAUAGCGGGAAAAUAUCUUUAGUCCCGGUUGAUGAGAACAACCGGGAGUAAAGAUAGCUUUACUCCCGGUUGUUGAGAACAACCGAUCUUUAGUCCCGGUUGUUCUCAACAACCGGGAGUAAAGAUAUAUUUACUCCCGGUUGUUCUCAUCAACCGGGACUAAAGAUCUAGGGGCAUAUAUAUUCCCGAUGCGCGCCCUCGUCUUCUCCACCAACACUUAGAAGUUUUUUCCCCGAUCGAUCUCUCUCGGCUUCUCCUUCGCUGGCACUGCCUAGGGCAUCCCCGCGCCGACGCCACCGUCGUAUCUCGCCGUCGUCUCGCGUGCGUCGUUGUAGCCGCCUCCGCCGCCUCCGCCGCCGCCGCAUCUCUGGGCUGAGAGCCGCCGCCGCCUCCCUCUCUCUCUCUCCGAUCUUGAUCUCUCUCUCUCUCCCCAAACCGCCGCCGGCCGCCUCGUUGCCGACGCCGCCGCCGACGUCGUCGCGGCCGAACCCGACUCCGCCGCGCCGACGAUGCCGACCCAGACCUUGAUGCGGCCGGCACCGGCAACACCGUCGCCUGGCAGUGCCGACGAAGCCGCUCCACGACGCCGCGGCGGCACGACACGCCGAGACGCCAAGACACCGCAGCGGCACGGCACCGCCGUGCCGCCACGCCGCCGCCGCGCCAAGCCGCAGUCGCGCCGCCCCGCCGCCGCUCCGCUGCCGCCACGUGAACGAACGAACGUGAACGUGAACAUGAACGAACGAACUUGAACGAGAACGUGAACGAACGUGAACGAGAACAUGAACGAACGAACGAACAUGAACGAACGAACGUGAACUUAACGUUGUAUUUGAACGUACAUAAAUGAACAAACGUGCAUGAACGAAAAGUGAACUUAACAAGAACGUAAACAUUACUUAACGUACGUUAACAUGGACGCACGUGAACGAACGAAUGUAGGUGAAUGAAACGUGAACUUAACGAGAACGCGAACGUGAACGAUCGUAAACGAAAUGUGAACUUAACGAGAACGCGAACGUGAAAUACAAUAUAUGUUACUUCGCGUUUAUCCUAAUACAUCUUUUUGUAAGUUGCAGAAAAGACAUUGUCGUCGUCGUCCCUCAAGCCGGAGUGGUAGCUAGCCCUCGAAGGAAUUCGCGCAGGCAAGUGAUGCAAAUAUAUGAUUGUUAGAUUUUUAAUGCAAUUAAGACUAUUAGAUUUAAUAUAUGACACUUAGACUUAGCAUUAUAAUUAGAGUUUUAAUACAAUAUUAUUUGAGUUUUAAUAUAAGAUUAUUAUAGUUUUAAUAUAAGAUUAUUAGAUUUGUAAUUAGACUUAGCAUAUAAGAUUGUGUAGGGUUCUAAUAUAUGACAGUUAGACUUAGCAUAUAUGACUAUUUGAGUUUUAGUAUAAGAUUAUUUGAGUUUUAAUAUAAGAUUAUUAGAUUUGUAAUUAGACUUAGCAUAUAAGAUUGUGUAGGGUUCUAAUAUAUGACAGUUAGACUUAGCAUAUAUGACUAUUUGAGUUUUACUAUAAGAUUAUUUGAGUUUUAAUAUAAGAUUAUUAGAUUUGUAAUUAGACUUAGCAUAUAAGAUUGUGUAGGGUUCUAAUAUACGACAAUUAGACUUAGCAUAUAUGACUAUUUGAGUUUCGAUAUAAGAUUAUUAUAGUUUUAAUAUAAGAUUAUUAGAUUUGUAAUUAGACUUAGCACAUAAGAUUGUGUAGGGUUCUAAUAUACGAUAGUUAGACUUAGCAUAUAUGUCUAUUUGAGUUUUAAUAUAAGAUUAUUAUAGUUUUAAUAUAAGAUUAUUAGAUUUGUAAUUAGACUUAGCAUAUAAGAUUGUGUAGGGUUCUAAUAUAGGACAGUUAGACUUAGCAUAUAUGACUAUUUGAGUUUUAGUAUAAGAUUAUUUGAGUUUUAAUAUAAGAUUAUUAUAUUUGUAAUUAGACUUAGUAUAUAAUUAUUGACUAGCUAGGUUCGUAAUAUACGUCACUUAGACUUGGCAUAGUUGACUAUUACAGUUUUAAUACAAUAUUAUUUGAGUUUUCGUAUAAGAUUAUUAUAGUUUUAAUAUAAGAUUAUUAUAUUUGUAAUUAGACUUAGCAUAUAUGACUUAGCAUAUAUACUUAGCAUAUAUGAUUGUUAGCAUAUAAGAUUGUUAAAGCAAAAAUGUCUCAUGACUUAGCAACUAUUUCUUGUAUGAACAGAUGGCUGAUCGCGAUGAGGAACAGAUAUUGUACGAUACAAUCGCGGAGGGAAGCAGCUAGUACUGGAACGAAGAAGAGGGGAAUGAGGAUUCAAACCAGUACUUGAACGAGGAAGGGAACAUGGAGAGGGAUUCGGAGGGGAACCAGGAGGGGCACGUGGAGAGGGAUGUGGAGGGGAACCAGGAGGAGGAGGCUAGUGGAAGUCAACCCUCCGCUGGACAGAAGAGGGCACGCGGGCAACGAGGUGCCGCGAAGAAGCUUGAGGGUCGGCACAUCAUAACGGAAGUGGACGAAGACGACCGACCUAGUGCCCCGGCGGAAGCAGCCAAGAACUAUGUACGUCACAGCGGUUGGGUUGUGCGGGAUAACAUGCCUGUCAGUACGGUGUACUGGCGCAGAACAAGGGCAUGUGGAGAUCAUGAGAGUUUUGCCCCAGAUUCGGAGAAAGAGAUGCUGUGGACAGCAAUGCUCGAGACAUUCACCCUUCCCGCGGGUACAGAGGACAAAGUGAAAAGGUGGACUCUAAAGAAAAUGGCAGAACAGUUUCAGAGCUUCAAGGGAGAUCUAUACCAGAAAUAUAUCCUGAAGGGGCAGACACCGAACUUCGACACAUUCCCAAAGCUAAGGGAUCACUGGGACGAGUUCGUUGCAUAUAAGGCAGGUCAACAAGGGCAGGCGAUGAUGGAAAGAAACAAAGAAAAUGCCGCCAAGAAGAAGUACCAUCACCACUUGGGGUCAGGCGGCUAUAGCGUCGCGAUGCCGAAGUGGGAGGAGAUGGAGGCAAGCUUGCUUGAGAGGGGUAUCGAACCGGCCACCACUAAUUGGCUGGAUCGAUCGAAGUUCUGGUACUAUGCUCACGGUGGAACGCUCAACCCAGUUGAUGGCUCCCUGGUCUUCAGCGAUCAGAUACGCGAGGCUGCGCGUCGACUAACGGACACAGUGGAAGCCUCUUCUCAGGGCACGUUUCGACCCGACAGAGAGAAGGACGAGCUGUCACUCGCCCUGCAGACUCUAGAGCAUCCAGGACGAACACAAGGGAAAGUGGUGAUUCCUUAGAAGAUUGGGUUCAAGGAGGACAUCCACAUGUACAGGAGUCGGAUGAGGAGUAAGAGAGAUACCGAGGCGAAGAUUAUAGAUCUUGAGUACAGGGUAUCGAGCUACGAGCUCAGCAUGCAAGAGGAGGUGGCAAGGAAGGUUGAUGAACGCAUGGCCGCACAUCGGUUCCAUGAUCCCCAGCCGACCAUUCCUCCUGCAAUGGUAAGCCCUUCAGGAAAUCGUUGCAGCUGCGCCUCAACGGGGCAGGUAGGAUCAUAGAGCAUGGACGCCAUGCAAACCCAGGACGAAACCACUUGCCCCGUUGAUGACAUCACUCAGCGGACACCAUGUGAGUUGCAUAUUCCCUUCAAGAACUUAUCAAUAAAGGUAAGCUCGUAGUUUAUAGAUUUUAGAUUUGUCCAUUCCGCAAGUUGCUGCUUAUAUAUGUUGAUUACUAAUAAAUAACCUCUCACCACGUGAAGGUGGCGUCAGGCAUGGCCAUCCCAACGGACCCUUCAGGUACUUACUAUUGCAGGCCGAUUCCAGCAGGAUACUCCAAGGUCGAAGUUGAGUUGGUCGAAGACGCGUACGAGGACCUCGAGUUCGAUUACCCUGGAGGAGACGGUGAGACGCAUCUAUGAGACACAAGCCACACCAUUAUACUAUGGCGCAAGCGGUACAUCAUCCUCCCUGGGCGACAAGCGGCGUCUCGUGCACCAUCUCCUCCGGCUCCGCCAUCUCCUCCUCAGGCUCCUGCACCGUCUCCUCCUCAUGCUCCAGCACCGUCUCCACCUCAGGCUCCUGCACCGACUCCUCCUCAGGCUCCUGCACCGACUCCUCCGCAAGCUCCUCGUUCGGCACCUUCCAAGUCAAGGCCCCCCCAAGCUCCACCACCUGCCCCCACAAGGGCAACGAAGAAGGCGAAAGUUGACGCCGCCAAGAACAAGGACCCAGGGUACGAUUGCACGCAAGAGGAGCUUGACGCUUAUGUGGCAUCAGAAGUCAGGAGACAAUUGAAGCCUCGAAGUCCAGAAAAGAAGAUUCCUAUAGACCCGAGUGUUAGGAACUUCUUCAGGGGUAUGUCUGCACCUGCCAAGGAGGCCAUAAAGCUAUCGGACUAUGAGCGAACACUCAAGAAAGCAUCUUCUGGAAAGUCCAAACCAGUCCCUCAGCUUGGAGAGCAACCAGACCAGGAGAUCGAGCCGUUGGUGACCGGUGAAGAUUUUGGAAUACAAGAAUUUAUUAAUGACACCGGGCUAACUACGGAUCAAUUGCUACGAGGCACACCAAUCGAAAAGGCGGAAGUGAAAUACAUGUACGAACUCAGUAAAUCGCUUGUCAAGCCUGAGCAGCUGCAAUCCCUACCCACACAAAUGUACAAGUUCCAUCAACUGUACAUGGAGAUGAGCGCCACCGGUAGAGAGAUGAUCAGAGCGAGGAUCAGGGACACGGACUUCUUGCCAGGAGAUGACAUUCUCUGGAUCAAUUUCAAGGGUAUCUACGAACCAUACCAGCUGGACGCCCUCGACGUCUCUAUUAUGAGUUGCUGGAUUUUGUAAGUAUCGUUCAGUUAGAUUUCUUAUUACGUUUCCUUUAAUUAAUUAGGUCCUUGUAUAUAAGUACACUAUAUAUAAUAUAUACUCCCUUUUAUCGUUGUAGAAUGGAGAUUCAAAGGGCCUAACGGCGGGGGGUUUUCGAUACUGGAUUCAUCGACCCUCGGAAAGUAAACGUCGCAAUGCUCGACCAGUAUCCGCAAGCCAUAGAGGACAAUCUCAUCCAUCUCCUGAAGGCGCAGUAUUACAAGACGUUCAUAUUGUUGACGUACAACACAGAGUUAGUUUAAUUUUACUGUCUUCCUAUACCAAAUUUCAUUCCCGUACGAACAUGCUAAGUGUUUCAUAGGUAAUGCAUCCCACGCACAUUGCAGAUUCCACUGGGUGCUUUUACUCUUCAACCUGGAGGCCUGCACCGUCAACGUACAUGACUCAAUGGAUAAAAAAGAGUCUACGUUUGACAAGGUUUUCGAACUUGUAGACAGGUACUGUCAUAAGUUCCUAUGUUAAUUAAGAAUCUUGUUAUAGUUAAUUGCUACUACGAAUCAUAGCUUUAAACUCCAUGUAGGGCUUGGUAUCAGUUCCGUCAUUUCGUCCACGGCAAAUGGAGAGAAAGACUUAGGCGGAAGUUCAAUUUUCCUGUGAGUACACAUGCUCUACAUUUAUAUUGAAUCUCCAAUUCAAAUACAUACAAGUGUAUAUUAAUUAGAUCUCUUGCCGUUUGUCAUUUAUUUAUAGUGCGCAAAGCAAAAGCAGGGAACUAACUUGUGCGGCUACUACGUGUGCGAGUAUUGCCACUGCCUUGCAGACCAAAUCAUCACCACAAGAGAGCUCGAUGUACGUACAAAUAAAUUCAAAAUUUCAUUACGUAUCGAUUUGUUGUUUAAUUACUAAUUAAUUUCAUACAUUCAUAUAGUUUAUUCGCAUGAGGGAUAACCUGAUCACACACAAGGAAUUUAUCGCGGCGGUUCAAGAACAACUCAUGGGAUUCAUCAACGAACAAAUCCUUGAUCCUAAGGGUGAAUUCUACUAUGACGGAAAUACAAUUCAUAGGUCCUUAGCUUCUGAGAUAACGACUACUACUACGUCGAAAUCAUAGCUAGCUAGGACAUCAUAAUGGAUUGUAAUUAAUACAUGUCUAUUUUUCUAUAUGCAUGUGUACACAUUUUCUUUAAUGUAAAUAUAUAUUUUGGUCAUAUAUAUAUAUAUAUAUGCACAAAAAAUGUUAAGUGCUUUCAUAUAUAUAUAUAUACACACACACACACACACAUAUGCAUUUGCAUAACAUAUAUAUGUAUAAAUACAUAUAUAUAUUAUGCAUGUAUAUAUGUAUUGAAACAUAUAUAAAUAUAAUAUAUAUAUAUAUAUAUAUUAUAUGCAUAUAUAUGUAUUGAAACAUAUAUAUGCAUGGUUUAUAUAUAUAUAUAUAUAUAUAAACCAUGCAGCAACAGGACCAUGCAAAAAAAAAAGGUCAGUUCGAUCUUUAGUCCCGGUUAUUUCACCCGGGACUAAAGAUAGCGAUCUUUAGUCCCGGAUUGGUAGUCCUGGUAUGGAAACCGGGACUAAAGGGGGGUUACGAACCGGGACUACAAACGCUUUCUCCACCAGUGAACACAUAACUGUUUCUUGUAGUACUUUCACAUAGACACAAACUUAUGUUUUUGUAAGCUUGAAAUAAUAAUGUCGAAAAAAAACGUCUUAGAUGGUCUAAGUAUAUCUAUAUUCGUUUUAUCAACUACAAUACAAACAAUAACAUCAUAUAGCUAUACCAUAUCCAUCUCAAAUCAUAGGUAGCACCCAUUAACAAAUAUUUGAGCCCUAUGUGGGUGUGGCUAGAGGCCUAUUGGCAAUCUAGUAUGUUUGAUGGAGAUUUAGAUCAAACGGUGAAUACGUCCUUCUUAACCCUUGUGAUUCAGCCUUAAAAUGCUCUGGUUGCUUGUGAGUCUUCACACUUCAAAUCGCCGUACCAACGCCCACCUCGUUGGGUACCGUCAUACUUCUCUCGCUUAUGAGAGAGAUUGACAAGAGCUCUAAGAUUUUACCACCAAAUCGAUCUUCUUCGAAGAGGAGGGGGGAGGGGAGAAUCAACCUGGUCUGAUUUCUUCUUGGGCUGAUCUUGGUGCCAGACUGUUUUGCUUUCUAGAUUUGGGGUUUGUUUCUUUGGCAGAAUCAUGUAAGGAUUUUAUUUUUUUUGGAAUAAUUAAGCAUUUUCUUGUUUCAUAUGUGCUUGUUUGACAGGCCGGGAUCAAGUUUAUCUUAAUUAGCAUGUCAAGAGAUUAAUUAAAGGUUCAACUAGAUUUGUUUGGGAUUUUAGUAGCAGCACGGAGCUUGGAAGUUCAAAUCUCGGGUGCUACGAACCUUCUACGUUCCUGAAACAAAAAUUUCCAGGUGACUAAUUAAUUAUUGUGAGUAAUAGAUUAACGACACACGUGUUGAAAUCUUAUUCUACGAGCAGCUUACACACCUAUGUGCAGAUGGAUUUCUCUAAAAUCGGUUCCCCGUGGCUCGUAUUCGUCCAUGAUAAUGGAAGUUUUUAUAGAUCUUCAAUUUGGAGUAGCCCUUCUUCUUUCUUUGAACGAAUCCUGUACAGAUUUAAUUAAUUUCGAAUUAACGCUUGUUCCUUUGCUUGUUCUUGGCAAACUAAGCUUGCUUGCUAGGGCCAUAUAUAUACGGCUCAAAUUAAAUUCAUCGCCAUGGCUGACCACGAAGUAGGAGGUCUCUACCCGAUCGACUUAGGUCGGAUGGACAUGAUGACCGCGCUUGGCUUCGUCGGCAGCUAGCGACGUCGACGACGACGAGGACAGCGGCAAGGCGAUAUGGGAUGAUCUCGCUUCUGAAAUCGGCGGCGGCGCCGCCACCGUGGAUACUCCGGCGACGGUGAGUUCUACCAAUGGAUGCAUUCAUGGUCAUGCAUGUAUCUGCUUAGUGGUUAAUUUUUGCUGGCUAGCUGGAUGUGUUGUCAGAUUUAUUGUGCUGCUAGCUGUUUUUUAAUCACCUAUGCGAUUAAACAGGUGGUCAGGUAGCCAGCUAUAGCUAGGUAAUGUACUCCUACUGGAAUGAAUUAAUGUGUGCUAGUUUUAUCCUUUUUUCAGCGUUGCAUAUUUGACUGUUGUCACAUGUAUGUUAUGUAUGGCAUGUACUUCAUUUUUUUACUUCAAUUCAUUUAUUUUCUUUUUUGGACCCGUAUAUUAAAUAUGUACUUUAAAUUUUAAAAAAUAUUUAUUAAGGGAUGCACUAAAAUGCACCGAGAAAGCGUAAUAACUAAAACACGUCCUUCACAUAGUACUUUUUUACUAUAUGUUAUAUGUUUUCAAAUACAUGAUAGCACAAAUUUUACUAAUAGGCUUAAUAGGGGAAUUUGUGAUGAUUUCACUCUCAGUAAAAAAAAUUACUAACAUUGAGUGUAUAUAUUAAAUAUGUACUUUAAAUUAAAAAAAUAUUUAUUAAGGGGCGCACUAAAACGUAUCGGGUAAGCGUAAUAACUAAAAUACGUCCUUCACAUAGUUCUUUUUUACUAUAUGUUAUAUGUUUUCAAAUACAUGAUAGUACAAAUUUUACUAAUCGUCUUAAUUGGGGAAUUUGUGAGGAUUUCACUCUCAGUAAAAAAAUUUCUAACAUUGCAUGUGUGUUUUACCUAUAACAUACCCAGGGUAUAGUAUAAUAUGUCUAUAUUUUUUAAAUACAAUUGUUCAUAAUAAUAGAAUGUACUGGAUGCAUUGACCACUUUUUGAAUGGGAAUAUCUGGUGCAAUUUGUGGACCAUUUAGGCCAUGUUUGGCACACUUGGUUUUAAAUUAAAUUAUAGUGUUUUAUACUUUUAUAUUUUCUCUAAAAUAGGAAUAAAUUAAUUUAUCCAAGAGAUCCAGAUCUAAGGAUUCUUGGCUAUCGAGCAGUGGCACAAGAGCCCAAUAAAUCGUCAAAGUAUCUAAAUGAAAAUUCCACCAGAUAUUUAAAAUGCUACUAAGCCUUUGGGCCUUGCUUUGUGAUUACACUUUGGUCCAAAAUGGGCCCAGAAAAAAUUGCCAGAGCCAAAAGGGGAUAGAGGUUGGACUUAGUUGCUAAGCGCGCUGUGCGCGGGGGUGGCAUUGGUUACGUGCCAUAGCCCACCGGUCUCAUACCACUGUCGACAGACAUCACUGGAAAGGAGGAUGGGGUGGACCACUCCCAAUCGUCUCCUCUGGCUACCGCAACUGGAAACCAUAUGGUUUGUUCCUUUUCGGUCCCAGUUCCCUUAUUUACGUGCCUUUUAUUCUAUUUAAUUACAUACUAUUGAGUACUUGCUUUGUGGGUGCAUAGAUGGAAUUGUUUUGUGUGGUCUGCCACAGGAAAGGCUCUAACCAAUUUAUCAUUCCAAAGUGUUGUGAUAAUUAGUAUGACUAACUAAAUAUUUCAUAUCAUAAAUAAGAACUUUCUUAAUAUAUUUCAUCAUAUAUUUGUGUUUCCAAAGGUGUUUUAUCUAAUUUUGUAUAUCAACUAGUAAUACCUAUUAAAACAUGUCUAUAGUGGUUUGAUAUGUCUAUAGUGGUUUGCUGUUGUUUGUAUUGGUAAGACACUGGGCACUGCAACAAAGGAUAAAUUGCCCUUCAUGAAGGCAAUAAAGGAUAAAUUGCCCUUGUCAAAGAUAAGUUUGCACUGUCAUCAAUUUACAUUUCACUUUAGAAAUAGGAUACAGAUGGAUUGGAAGCUGGACACACAAAAAGUUCCCAAAAGGCGAAAACCAUGAUUGUUCACGACUAUACCAGCUGUCCAUGUCCACCUCUUUUGAUAUGCGAAAUGACUUUUUUUGCCCUCAUUUUCCUAUCAAGUAGUACUAAGUCCAAACCUCCAAAGUAUUUUAUUUAAUAGGAAGCAUAUCUCCUUCUAGACUGAAAGCCUAGCGGUGGGGCGGUGGCCAGGCUAUGGCCGCCGCCCCACCGCGGGAGAGAAAGAGGGUUGUGGGCUAGUGGUGGGGAGGCUCAUUUUUGCCGUCAGGAGGGGGUGGCAGUGGCUGAUCUAGUAACCGGAGCAGCUAAAGGUGAGGUAGGAGUGGUAGGAUAGGGGAUUCCUACCAAAGUUGAGGAUGGCAGUGAGACAACAGCAGUAGAAGUAGUGGGGGAGAUGGAGGUUGGAGGUGGUGGAGAGGGCUUGGCCGGUGGAUCUUGACGGUGUCUUCGUGGUGCUGGCGUGGCAAGGUCUUAUCGUGGAAAGGAGUAGUGGCGGUGGGGUGGUUUUUGCGGAGAUCAGGAGGAGAGAGAAAGGCUAGGUGUUAUAUUUGUUGCAUGAAUCACAAAAAAUCCUUGAUGUCUGUGAUUUAACAACAUAUCAGGUGACUGAUGAUUACUCAAUCCUUGUAAAUUGUCUUGAGACAAGUAAUUAGUAACUAGCAAAGAUACCGGCUCUGAUAUAUAAGAAAAUAUAGCUUUGCUAGAGAACAUAAUCCCUCCGGUUCCAUAUUAAUUGACGUUUAAGAUAAGAUUGAGGUCAAACUUUUAUAACUUUGACCAUCAAUAACUUUAAAAAUAUUUAGUUUAAAGGAAUUAGAACAACAUAUAUAGAUUUAUUUAUUAUAUAUAUUAUAGUAGAAAAAUAAGAUCAAAGAUAUAUUUUGUAGACCGUGUUAUUGUCCAAAACGUCAAUUAAAAUGAAACCGGAGGGAGUAGAUCCUUAUUUUUCUGUUAUGGUACUAGGAUUUGUUGCUAAUUUAUUGUUGUUUUCAUUAUUAUAACAACUACUUCCCCUUAUUUGAUUUCUUUUCUUAUGAGUCUGUUACACUAUGAUCAACAAUUAUUUUCAUUGACAGUAUUGCUAUUCAAUUAUAUUCAUCAUAUUUGUAUUCCUGCUAGAUAACAUUUUGAAGAUACACCAAUAACAUAUUACCUUGUGACCAUUCAAAACAUUUAUUACUUAUUCUUGUUGUGCCAGAUAUCCUUAUCUCUAUCAAGAGGGGAAAAUUAUGGUCAUAGUAUUGUUUACCUUUCUUAAUAUGUUUGUCUGACUUGAUUUAUACAAUGUUCUUGUGUUCAACUAAUGAAAACGUUAGGAUUUCUUCCUUUUGUGAGAAAUAUUAAUUCUAGUUUUUUCAUCUACUAUCUAAUCAAAUGAUAUUCAUACAAUGCAUUGUUUCAUAAUAUGGCAACUACUCCAGCAUCUCUACCGCAAUCAAGAGUACAAUAAUGUGCAAUAUAUUAAAAUAACCAUUUGGAUUAUGGGAUUAUUUAACAUUGAUAUUUUGCAUGUCAUCUAUGCAAAGAAUUACAUCAAUCCAUUUCUAUUAAAACAUUUCUCCUUCCUACUCAGGAUGUCUGAGAUGAACGCACAUCUACUUUAGAUGAAAAGGUACCUAUUGACUGACAUGCACUUUUCUCAGGAUAUCCAAUCUAAAGCAGAGAUCCAACCUGCUUGUGGGACUCUAAAAGAGCAACCAUCCAAAGCUGUUUAUGGAAGCUGCAUUUCUGGUCAAAUGUUUGGACUACAGGAUUCACAAUAUAUAUUGGCCAAGCCAUCCUCAUCUGAAAGAUUCUAUAAUCAUAACUCUGAUGCCAUUGGAUCCAACCAUCUGAAGCUUCAUAGACAAAUAAGUGCUGAUGGAAACGCUGAAUCUAGGUUAGAACUGAACAAAGAUGCUAUUGGAGUUUUAUCAGGUGAAAAGAGUCCAUUAGCCAAAUCAGGAAAGCAGAUUGAGCAACUUAUGGUGAAUGAUCUUUCUGCUCAUCCAUACAACCCUGUGUGUCCUUUUUCUCAAGGUGUUAGUUAUUACAGUUCAUCUUCCCAACACAUUGUGAGCUCAUCAGGAGAAGUCAAAUAUAUUCGAAAUUCAGGUCAAGAAAUGCAAAUUGCUUGUGAUAUUGUAGAAGAACCAUCACAUAUAGCUUUGUAUGGGAGCAAGAACCCUUAUGAAUUGACUGGGCUCGGUAAUCCUCAUGAUAAAUUCAAUGCCCCAUCUUUUUUUUUGAAGGAGUCAAUAUUAGUAGCAUCUCUAGCACUUCAUCAGGGAUGAACUUAUCAACCAAUAGUGCUAAAGAAAAUAAUGAAUACAACCAACUGAAGCUUCAGAAGCAAAUUGAUGGUUAUCAGAGGUUUGAAAUUGGCUCAGGACUGAAUAUGGAUGAUGCUGAUGGCGAUUUAACUGCAACAGGGGUUCCACAAAAAGUGCAGGAUGGGAAAAAUAUGGUGAACACUCUUUUUGUUAAAGCCGUACCAACCUGUAUUUACCGUCUUACAUGGUACUAGUUACAGUUUAUCUUCACUACACCCAAAUAAGUUGAACCAGUUGCUAGAACAUCCUGAGUACCAUUCAAGGUUACAUUGCAUCCAACCUUCACCGCAACCAAUCAUCAAAGAUGUAUCAACAUCAAUGACACUCUAUGUUAAAGAACCAUGCUCUCAAGAAAAUUUUUAUUUGGCGGACAAUUUUCCUAGUCUUCAGGGAUUUGACAAUGUUGCGGAUAACAACCCUAGAAUGUCCGUGCCUCACAACACUGUUGUUUCCGCCAGGAAUGCAAGGAACCAAUCUCCCACCAUGAGUGGUAUGGUGCAUGCUGAUGUUUUAGAAAUCUACUACUCUUUGGAUCAGCAGACUUCAGCUAACAAUAUACAAAUUUAGUAUGCUCUUCAGGCUGCAAGGCAACCAUCACAACCAUUCCUGCAUGCUAAUGUUGCAGAAACAAACUCACCUUUUGGUCACCAGUUUGCAGACAACUUGCUCCUCAGGUUACAACACAACCAUCAAACAUAUCCCUACAUGGGAGCUACAACCGCAGCCUAUGGAUUAGAUCUGUUGGUGAUUUCUAGAUGGAGCUGUUCAAGCCAUCCUCAUCUCACAUAACUAGUAAUGAUGUUAUUUCUGGUGCAUUGCCAAAGAUCAACUUGCAGGGUGGGACAAUGAUAGGAAAAGAUGAUUUAAAACAUAAAAAUCUUCAUGGACAAAUUGGUUUUCAUGAAAAUGUUGCAUCUCACUAUUUUGGCAUGAACCCUGAGUUGCCAAGGAUAUCAUCUUUUCUACACCAGAAAUGCUCUGAAUUCUUACAACUUAAUAGUGAUGCAAUGAGAUGUUUAACCAGGGUAGAAAAACAAGUUGAGCAAUCUACCAUAAUAGGUCCUCCUUUCCCUUCUGUGACAGUACCCAGUCCUUUGUCAGUAAAUCAUCUUUCUUCCAUGUCCAGGGGUUAUUGUUUAGGCUAUAAGGAUCCUAAUAACCAGGGUAUUGGUUUUUCUCCAAUGUACGAACCAAGUGGAUUCAAUACUAAUUACACCUUGCCUCUGAGAAUGGAAGCACAUGCAAUGGAAUCCUAUGACAUAGAUGCUCUAUCUAAAGCCACUAGACAAAGCUGCCAAGUAUACUUUGAUUCUGAAGAAUGGAGUUCUCAAUGUGUUCAAGAAAUGGACUAGAUGAAGCUACAAAUUCGAACAUGUUGACUGCUUAACAACAACCUCAGAGGAAACAAUAUAGACACCUUGAGAGACAUCAUAAGAAAAUCGUUGCAUCUGAAGCACAGGCGCUACAUAGCAAUGUUGAGACUCCUAUCAGGAUGAACAAAGCUAAGGAAUUCAAUGAAAUAGUAAGGGAUCAAGAAGCAUGCUUCCUUUCAUUUUAUCAUCCUACUCCUAUUCCAUCCCAUGUCUUGAAUAUGUUGCAUUGGUGCUUCGGUAUUGAUAUGGAAAGGAAAAUGCCAUUGCCAAGAGGUAUCCAACACAAUGCUAUGGUACACCAAGGUUUGCUCAUCAGAAUGAUACAUUAGGUUUCAGAAGAUCUUAUGUGGAUUUCCCUCACAGAGAUUAUCUCAAAAGGUUGGACAAUAAGGAGCUAAAUGCCCUGCUAUUCCAAAGGAAGUUUAGUGGUUUAAGCAAAGGGAAUUAUCGGCUUUUUCACAUACAACGCUAUCUAUUUCAAUGCAGG